GUCACUCUUCAAGAGAGUAGAGAUGAUUAUUUCAAAAGUUAUAACAUCAGAUAAACAACCGCUGUCUUCCAUUUUGGACCACAUGGUCAAUGCCUCAUCAAGCAAACCCUUCUUACAAAGACCACUGAUCAUAACUGUAUAAGUACGGAUGUUAGGAUUGUGACCUUUAUUCAAAAGAUCUUGAAAAAUCUCUUGUGCAUUCUUAAGUCUCCCCCCUCUACACAUCCCAUUAAUAAGUAUGGUUGCAGUCCACAUAUCGGGCUGAACUCCAUUCUCACUCAUUUUCCUCAAUAAUUCAAUUGCCUUGUCUAAACGAUUAUUUUUGCAUAAACCAUCAAUCAAGGAAUUAUGAGUGACUAUGUCUGCUUGUUGAUUUCUAUCACGCAUCUCACAAAAAGUAUCCCAAGCAUGAGAGAUUCUUCCAAUUUUGCAUAAACCAUCAAUAAGAGUAGUGUAAGUCACAGUAUUUGGAACUAUAUUCUUUUUCUGCAUUUCCUGAAAAAGAUUUAUGGCCUCAUCUACCCUUUCGUUCCUUAUGAGUCCACUUAUCAUGAUAGUGUAGGUCCAAACAUCAGGACUCACUCCCAUGUGGGUCAUUGCAUUGAAUACUUGUUUCGCAUUCUUUACUUUAUUAACUACAUAAAACCCAUCCAUUAGAGCAUUAAAGCUAAAAACAUCAGGUUUCACAUAAUCUUUCACCAUCACACCUAACACAUUCUUGGCUUCUCCUAGCUUUCUUUCCUUACACAAUGCAUCAAUCAAUAUAUUAUAGGUAUAAACAUCUGGCCUGAUGUUAUUUGAUAUCAUUUCAUUUAGGAAACCAAAUGCUACCUCUACCUGUCCCACUAAGCAAAAGCCAUAAAUUAGAAUACUAUAAGUAAUAACAUCAGGAGAAAUUUCCUUGAUAACCAUCUCAGAAUACAAAUCAUAAGCUUUUUUUGGUUGUUUCUCUUUUAAUAGGGAGUCAAUAACUAUGUUGUACAUUACCGUUGAUCGACCUGGAAUCGUUCUGAGCAAUUUGAUUGCGGCUUCAGUUUCUCCUAUUUUGCUCAAUCCAUUGAUUAGAAUCCCGUAAGUAAAUUCAUCAAGCCGAAAUCCUAGUGCUACUACUUUGUCGUGAAGAUUUAGGGCUUCCUUGAUCUCACCCUUAUCACAUAGACCUCUCAUGAGUGUGUUUAAGGUUAUGGCAUCUGAAUGAUAACCCUGUUUAAGAAUUUUGGCAAAUACAGAGAAAGCAUAACCCAAUUUAUGUAAGUGACAGAAACAAUUGAUGAGGAGGCUGAGAGUAACAAGGUUAUUAUGAAUUCCCUUAAGCUCCAUUUGUUUAAUAAGAGAAAUAGCAGUAGGGUACCGCUUCAUCCUCACAAGAAAUCCCAAAAUCUUUCCAAAUUCGAAGAUGGGAGGAACAUGACGCUGAUGAAGCAAGCGAUUGAAUUGUGAGACGGCUUCGUCGUGUAAGGAAGUUUGAGAGUGAGAGUGAGAGCAAAAGAGGGAAUUGUGGAUUGGAAGAAAAGGAGGAAACUUGGCAAUGGAAGGAAGAAGAUAAACCCUAACACUUCUUGAGAGCCACAUCUUUGCUGCAACAACAAUAGUAUGAAAUUCUUCAAAUUUAGUUUUCUUCCAUUUUAAAAAGUUUAUUCAUGAGACUCUCAAUUUUCUCUUAAUAUCAAAAUUAUAUUUCUAAUAAGUGUUAAAAAAAUAAAUUUCUCUCCUAUUAUCAUCCAACCCAUUUACCACCCAUUUUCAAUCUCACGUUUCUUAAUCUAAGCCUGGCAGUAUCUUUUUUUCUUGUCUCCUUCGUCUUUGUCUAUUUCUACCCACUCAUGUAUCUAAUUUCAUCUUGUGUCUCUCUUUUCCAACUUUUUUUAAUAAAUCAUCAUUGUUAAAUUUUAUUUAUUUGUAAAUGUUUAGUAUAAUUUAGAUGAAGGUAAGAAUAGGAUGAAGUCAUUAAUCAGAUUUCAAAAAUCCAGUAUAUAUCUAUUAGUGUUUUAGCAUUUAAAAUCAAAAUAAGUUAAGAAAAUUGAACCAUAAAUUCCAUUAAACUUAGUAAAAUUAUAAACUCUAAUUUUUUAUUGGAUAAAGAUACUUAGACAACAUUUUUUGACAACAUUUGAACAUCAUCAUAUGUGUUAUUGUGUGAUUGGUUCAUGGUGGUGUCAUUGUGUCAUUUGAACCAAUCACACAAUGACAUGUAUGAUUGAUGUUCAAAUGUUGUCAAAAAAUGUUGUCUAUAUAUCAUUACCCUUAUUGUUAUGUAAACUUAUUAUUAUGUAAACUUAUUAUCAAUUGUUGGAACAUUACAAUACCAUACAAAACAAAUUAUUAUUAAUAUGAAAGUAAAUCAAUUAUUAUUAACUAAUAAAUAUGAAGGAAUAUCCUAAAUUAAAUUAACUAUUUAAAUAAUAUAUUUUAUUUUUCUGAUGAAUUCCGUUAUAAAAAUAAAAAUAAUAAAAGUUGAUAAAUUAUUACUGUAAGGGCCUUAGAAAUUGUAAGGCUGAUGGGCCUAAGUGAGGCAGUCUGGCCCAUAAGGUUAAGGGCAGCAUGGCCUUAGGAGAAAGGGAAACUUCCCUUUUCCAUUUUCUGAUUUCAUUUCACAGAAUCUCCUUUUCUCUCUCUAGAACAAAAUCCCAACUCAAAUGUUCUGUUUUCUCUCUAAAAUUCUAAUAGAUUGAACCGUUGAAUCUUUGUUUUGUUGCUGCAAAAUCAUUCCUGGUGCGGAGAGCUUCGAUUCCCACCGAACAAUUUCUUCAUUUCAUCGGGUAAGUAAAUUUUUCCCUUUCUCUUCACUGUCUUGACUUAGGGCACCCAAUUUUCUGGUUGCAUGUGCUUUUCGUACUUUGCUUUCCCCUUCUCUGUACGUUCUAGCUCUAAAAGGCUGUCUCUAUCACCAAUUUGGUGAUUUAUAGGUGUUGUUGAUGUUCUGUCCUGUGAGGGCCCUGUUAGGAGGUCUCUAUUUAGCUGUACUGUAGUGUGGUUCCAAGUAAGGGGAGCUAACUAUAUAAAUAUAUUGUUUCCUGAUUUGUUUCUGAAUAUAUGUUGAAAUUUGUUGUGUAGUGGUUAAAUCUGUUUCGGUGUUCUAUGUAUGCUAAAUUUAAUUAUGAUUUACUGCUUAAUAUUGAGUUGCUACUGUUUGCGUAUCUGAUUUUAGUAUGUUCUGAACUGUUUUAAAUUGAUUCCCUGUGUUUGGACUUGAUGAUUAUAAUCUGUUUGAAUGGGCUGAAUGUUGGACCUGAAUAUGCUAAGGUAUGUUUUGAGUUGCUGGAAAUUCUAUUGUAUUGAUGAUCUGAUGAGNGGACAUGGGCUGUGUAUAGUUUUAGGAUCUGUGAGGGGAAGUAAGGUACUGAAUUUGGGGUGGUAGAUGUCUAGAACAUCGUAGAGCAACUAGAGGAAUUUCANNNNNNNNNNNNNNNNNNNNNNNNNNNNNNNNNNNNNNNNNNNNNNNNNNNNNNNNNNNNNNNNNNNNNNNNNNNNNNNNNNNNNNNNNNNNNNNNNNNNNNNNNNNNNNNNNNNNNNNNNNNNNNNNNNNNNNNNNNNNNNNNNNNNNNNNNNNNNNNNNNNNNNNNNNNNNNNNNNNNNNNNNNNNNNNNNNNNNNNNNNNNNNNNNNNNNNNNNNNNNNNNNNNNNNNNNNNNNNNNNNNNNNNNNNNNNNNNNNNNNNNNNNNNNNNNNNNNNNNNNNNNNNNNNNNNNNNNNNNNNNNNNNNNNNNNNNNNNNNNNNNNNNNNNNNNNNNNNNNNNNNNNNNNNNNNNNNNNNNNNNNNNNNNNNNNNNNNNNNNNNNNNNNNNNNNNNNNNNNNNNNNNNNNNNNNNNNNNNNNNNNNNNNNNNNNNNNNNNNNNNNNNNNNNNNNNNNNNNNNNNNNNNNNNNNNNNNNNNNNNNNNNNNNNNNNNNNAGAAUUGAAGUAGGACUCCUAAGUCUUAGGAAUGAAUGUUUUAGAGUUAAAUUCACACCUAGGUCAGCUUAGAAUCACUAUAGGAAUAGUUUAAAUUGGUUAAACAUGUUUCAUGUCAAUAUUAGUGUUGUAGAAUUCAAAUUGAACAAGUGGAUAUGUCUAAGAGGUACCAAAACCAGAAAAAUUAGGUUGCUGUCAAAAACUGAUAAGAAUAAUCAAUUAUCUCACUUGAUAAUCGAUUAUUCUAGUCAGAAUGUCAUAUUUUCUUCAGAGUUCUCGUAAAUAAUCGAUUAUUGUUGUCACAAAAUCAUCCAGGACAGUUUUAGGUGGUUUUCGGGGUUCCAGGUAUCAUUUUUGGACGUUCCUUAGAUCGUUCUGGGGGUUUUUACCCUUCCGGAACUAUUGGUGAUGGUUUAAAAGUCAUUUUCCAUGUCUAAGUAUGAGUUCACUGGGUUUUGUGUUGUUUAGUGGUUCUUCUAGAUCUGUUAUUGUUUGGCAAUGAAUGUGGAAUGAUUACAAUGUAAAUUAUGACUGAGGUGAUGUUGUUAACUUGAAAGUAUGUGAUCAUAAAGGUUAUGAAUUGAUGUUAAGUGCAACAAGCAUGGUUCAUGGAUGUAAUUCCAUGAUCCUCAAGGCGAGGAUUCAUGGUGGUGCCCUUAGUGUUUUAAAAUGAAAGUAGGGGCUCAGCCUUGGGAGUCAUUCUGACGCUCCAAUGGUCAAUCAUACUCACUUAGAGAGGUUGAACCAUGUGGUGAGGAGUAGCAGGAGGUCCUUAGUCUUGGGGCUCCCAGUAUGCCUCAAGACCAGGAACGGACUAACCUCGUGAGUGUGGCAGGGUGGGGAACCCAAGUUUCAUAAGUCACCACGGGUGCAAGACUCGCCAUAGCCCGACUAUCAUUUUAAAGUCCGGACGAGUCAGGUCUAGAAAUUAACAUGCUUAGGUUGUGUGUUUUAAUCUGGUUUUGUUUUCAGUCCACGUUUGUAUGGUCACAUGAGUAAUCUGAUGCAUGUUGUCUUAUUUAUAUAAUUAGCUCACCCUUGCUCACUGUUUGUGUAUGUUGUAUGUUUUCCUGUUGCGAUGAUCAUCCAUUUUUGGAUGUGAGCAGAGAAGGAUGAGGUCUCUGUGGAGAACGCUCUGAAAGAUACUGAAGAAGCUAUUGUUUAGUUCUUCUAGGAAUUUCUGGGCUGUUAUGCCUCUUUUGAACACUUAUGUAUUUUGAGAGACUUGGAAUUUCCACGUUUUAAUUUCCUGCAUCUGGAUUACUAUAAUCCUAAUUUAAAUACCUUAAACAUUCUUGACUGCUUUCUAUUAUCAUCUAUGAUGACGUCUUAAUUUAUAUACAUGUAUACUAUAUAAUAGGGAUGUUACAAUUACUACAAUAAUUAAUUAUGGAAAAUAUAUCAUUGAUAUUAUUAUACUGAGUUAUAACAUCAUUAAUAUUAUUAUAUAAGUUCUUAUAUCAUAUUAAUAAUAAAUUAUUUAUAAAUUCUAAUACUUAAAUAUAUUUUAUUAGUAUUUAUUGAAUUUUGAAAAUUUGGUAAGAGUACUAUUUCGAGAUGAAAAAGAAAUAAAUAACAAAUUUUGAGAAAAAACAGAUAACGAAUUUUAAAAUUCGAUCAAUUCUUAUAUUAUAUUAGAUUUCGAAAUAUGGUGUAUAACCAUUAGUGUUUCAAAUUUAUUCAAAAACUUAUUCAUUAUGCGCAUUUUUGAAAGGAUCAUCAUUACUAAAUAAAUAAUAAUAAAUAUUUGUAUUUAGUUUUUAUUAUUCUGUUAAUAAAUAUAAUAUUUAUUAAACUUAGUUAUUUUAAAUGUAAAGUUUUUAAACGGUUUCUAUACUCAAGAUAAACUAAGGAUAAAAUGACUCUAAUAUAAUUCAGUAGGUUAAAUAUAUUUUUUAAGUGUUAUACUUUCAAGUGGUUUUCGUUUUAGUUCUUGAAGUAAGAUAUAUUUUAGUAUUUUUUUUAAGAAAAUUUUGAUUUUAAUCCUACAAAACUAAUAUUUAAAAAAAAAAAUAAAAAAGUUAACCUGGGUGUCAUGUCAAUUUUUUAUUAUUCUGGGUCAAUCGGCCUCUUUCUCCCUUUCUACUCACUUUGCUGAGUCUUCUCUUGAUUCUGUCCAAUUCGGCGUCGUAAGCCUUUAAGAGAAAAAUCGACCAUCCUCAGUGGCACCAUGGCCCCUUCCACAACGUGUUUGAGAGUGGCACCUGGGAAUGUCGCACUGGAUGUUGCCCUUCAACUGGGAGAAGCUAUCGCGAAGCUGGUGGAGGUGGAAGAGCACGAAGGGGUUCUCCUAGCAAUCGAAUUGGAGGAAUGUUAGAAAUAAACAAAACAGGGUUGUUUUCAGUUUCAGUUUAUCAGUUCAGUAUAAAUACAGUUGUAUUCUAUCAUUUGAAUGUUGAAUAAAAUUUUCUGAAGUAUUAAACAGUUACCUGAGUGUCUCUGUAUAUAGUAUCUUUAAUUGUUGAUCGGUGAAGAGCAGAUGUGGUGGCCUGAGGGGGUGUUACGGAUGAACCCUAGCAGAGAGCUUCUUUUCGCCUUUCUCUCUCUAAACAUCUCGACCCUUCUCUGUUUUUUGCUUUCUCUCUCUGUCACGUGUGCCUGUUUUAUUAAAACAUCAGAAAGAUUAGUGGUGUGGGCUAUGACGCUUUUGCCCUCUCUUUUGAAUAUGGUAUCUAAAGCAAGGUUGUGAGGCUUGGGGUGUACGUGAUAGUGGGUGCUGUGUUGAUAUCUGGAGGUGUGUGAAUCCAGAAGUGCAAAAAAGAAGGGUUCUUUAGGUGUAAACAGAUCAAGAUUUAUCAAGAUCAAUGCAAGAAGAGAUGGUUGGAGUUGGAGGAAUUCAGGGGCCACUACCUAUGUUUGAUGGCAAACAAUUUGCUGACUGGAAGAUCAAGAUGUAGGUCGUUUUUGGGUUUCAAGAUGUGUUGGAAGUCAUUGAAGAUGGAGUGCCUGAGUUGAGUGAAAAGGCAACCCAAGAACAGAAGAAGGAACACAAGAUGCUGGAAAAACUGGACAGUAAGGCCAGAUUUUUAAUGUAUCAGUGUGUGAGUCAAAAGAUUUUCAACAAGAUUUCUAAUGCUGCUACAGCAAAGGAGAUCUGGGGUAUCUUGGUGAAAACCUAUGGUGAUGGAGACAGAAACACAAAGGUAAAACUGCAGGCUUUGAGGAGACAGUUUGAAACUCUCAUUAUGGAGGAGAGUGAGACUGUAUCUGAGUACUUUGACAAAGUACAAGAGCUAGUGAACAGGAUGAGGGCGUGUGGUGAUAAAAUGGCAGAUGAAUACAUGGUGGACAAAAUUCUACGAACCUUAACUCCUAGAUAUGACUAUGUGGUUGCUGCAAUUGAAGAAACCAGAAGAAAGGAAGACAUUGACAGUGAGGAGCUGCUACGUUCACUAGAGGCUCAUGAGUUACGUCUCAAUGAACGUAGACAAUGCCAGGAACAGGCCUUGCAGGCCAGAUCUCAGUGGAAAGGGAAAAAAGGUUUCAAGAAAGGGGGUAAAGGAGGUAAGAAAGUGAAAGACUCUCAGGACCAGCAAGGAGAAAAGUCCAGUGAGUCUGGAAAAGGAAAGAAACCAAACAAGGGAGAAGGAGAAUGGAAGUUUGAUAAGAAAAAGGUUAAGUGUUUCAACUGCCAGAAGUAUGGCCACUAUGCUAAGGAGUGUUGGGAUGGAGAAGGGGCCAAAAAUAAACCCAAGAAGAGGGCAAAUCUAGCCCAGGAGGAAGAGUCUGACUCAGAGGCAGUGAUGUUAAUGGCACAGGUUGAUGACAAACCACCAGAAAGUACUGUUUGGUACCUAGAUUCUGGGUGCUCCACCCACAUGACUGGAAGGAAAGACUGGUUUGUGAAAAUGAAGGAAGUUGAGCAGGGAAGAAUCAGGUUUGCUAAUAACAGCAGCCUGGAGGCAGAGGGAUCUGGCAGAGUGGUGUUAAGGGGAGAAGAUGGCAAGGAAGUGAUCAUUGAAGAGGUACUGUAUGUACCUGGAUUGAAGACUAAUUUGCUUAGUCUUGGGCAGCUCUUGCAGAAAAAAUAUAAGAUAAAGAUGGAGGACAAUUUCUCAGCAUCCUAAAUCUGAAUGGGAAGGUAGUAUUGCAGACACAACUGUCACAGAACAGAACUUUCAAGGCUGUGAUGGAGGCAGUAAAUCAUCACUGUUUUACUGCAGCAGAGGGUGAAGAAGAAUGGUUGUGGCAUCUCAGGUUUGGGCAUCUUAAUUUCCAAGAUCUAUCAAUGCUAAGUCAGAGAAAAAUGGUGAUUGGCUUACCAAAGGUAGAUAUUCCAGGGACUGUUUGCAAAGAAUGUGUUCAAUGCAAGCAGACCCGUGGCAGUUUUCAAAGGUUCUUACCCCAGAAAUCUGCAGAGAAGUUGGGAGUGAUAUAUUCGGAUGUCUGUGGCCCUAUGCAGGUAGAAACACCUGGUGGUAGCAGGUAUUUUCUGUUGUUUAUAGAUGAAUGGACCAGAAAGUGUUGGGUCUAUCUAUUAAAAAGGAAGGGUGAGGUGCUGCUACAAUUCCAAAAGUUUAAGAAUAUGGUUGAAAAACAGUGUGAGAAGAAGGUGAAAUACCUCUCUUUCUUUUUAACUUAGAAUUGAAUAUCUUUCUUUUUUAAUAUAUGAACAAUUAGUUGUAUGAUCAUAUUAAUAUGUUAAAUAAUGUAGUUUAUUUUAUAUAUAAUAUUCAGUUUUAGUUAAUAUUAUUUAAUUGCCUAUAUGGUUAAUAAAACAAAUUUUAUCAUGAUCCCAUUUUAUUACAAUCAAAAGCUAAAAAAAAAAAAUUGUACACAUUUCCUUCGGUUUUGGCAAAAUUCUGGUUAUUUUCGGCGGUUUUGGAAAAAACCCUGCUAAUUUCGACGGUUUUGGAAACCUCUCGCUAAUUCCGGCGGUUUUGGAAAACUCCCGCUAAUACCUUUGGUUUUUGCAAAACCUCCGUUAAUAGUAACACAGCUUUUCCUAGUGGUUUUCUCUAGCUUUUCCAGGGGUUUUCCAAACCCCGGAUAACAUACUUUUUAGGGGUUUAAACCGUCGGAAACGAAAAAAAUAACUUUCGGUAAAAAUCUAAAUUUUUGUAGUGAGACCGAUAGCCACUCAAUGGAGGGUUUCAUUAGGACUUGCCUUAUCAUAGAUGAUAGCCGACUCUUUCCUUUGUCGUUCGCUAACUUCGAUAAACUAUCCACCUGGACGUUCUCCUCUCUAGGUAUGUGUUUUAACACUAAAGUCUUAAAGUCAUUCCCUAAUUCUCUGGCCUUGUGGAAAUACUGAAGCAACUGGUCAUCCUUAAUCUGAAAUUUGUCGUCCAUCUACCCCACUAUCAACUGAGAAUCCGUUCGACACUCAAGACUUGUUACACAGAGGUCCUUAGCCAAUGAGCUCGGCGAUUAAGGCUUCAUACUCAGCCUAGUUAUUACUAAUCUUAAAUUGGAAAGCUAGAUAUUGUUCCAUCACUAAGUUGUACGGUCCUUCGAGUACUAUCCCUGCUCCUCAUCCUCGCCUAUUGGACGACCCAUCAACAAAAAGUUUCCAAGGUUGAGAGGGACUCAAGUCUGGUACGACCAAUUCUGCCACGAAGUCCGCCAAGUGUUGGUCGCGCACUAAGUCACAUGGUUCGUAACAUAAACCAAAUUCUGGCAAUUGGAUCUACCAACCUACAAUUCGCUCUGCCAGAUCUGGUUUCCUCCAAAUUUUUGCUAUAGGAUGGUCGGUUCAUACAACCACUUGGUGACUUUGGAAAUAAGGCCUCAAACGACGAGCAAUCGUGAGUAAUGCCAAAGUAACUUUUUCUAAGUGCUAGUAUCUUGUCUCGGUGUCCUGAAAUACUUUACUAAUGAAACCUACCAACUUAAACUCUGGAAUUUCUUGAAUCAAAGUUGCGCUAAUUAUGGCCUUGGAUACAACCAAGUAAAGUUGUAACUCCUUAUUUGGUCUCGAUCAACUCAUGACUAGUGGCUCAGCUAAAGUGCAUUUUACCUCCUUAAAGGCUACUUCACAUUGCUUAUCCCACUUGGUGAUGGUGGUUUUCUUCAUGACUUUCAAGGUUUGCCUAAUUCGCUCAGCCAACCUAGGGAUGAAACGAGACAAUGAAGUUAGGCGUCCAACCAACCACUACUACAGAAUUGCAUAUAGAUAUAAUCGAAUAGAUAGCGUUUUUUUAAAUAAGUGUUAUCUAUGAAUUUGCGGAAUAAUAGAUAACGCUUGUUUAAAAAAGCGUUAUCUAUAAUUAUGAAAAUAAAUAGCGCUUUUUUGAAAAAACUCUAUCUAUAAUCUUUCAAUAUUUAAUUAAUUUGUAAUUUGAAAUAUACCAAUAGAUAAAGCUUAUUUAAAUAAGGCUUAAUACCGCUUUUGGUCCCUAGUUUGGGAGGGUUUGUUCAAUAUGGUCCUACCUUUUUUUUUCAUAACAAUUAAUCCCACCUUUUGAAAAAACUGUUCAAUUGAGUCCUUUUUAUUCAUAGUGGCCCCAUAUUCAAGUUUAGAUUGUUUAUUAUAGUCCUUAUUGUAUACGAUGAUGACAUGAUUUAUAACAUAACAUUAUGUCAGGACUAUUAAAAUAACAUUUGGAUAGGUGAAUGCAUGAAAGAACUUAUUGACGUCAUAACCAGCACUGUUAGAAAAUUGACGUCGUAACAAAAAAGGAGUCAAUUGAACAGUUUUUUCAAAAAGUGAGAUCAAUUGUUACUAAAAAAAGGUAGGACCAUAUUGAACAAAACCUCCCAAACUAGGGACCAAACGCGGUAUUAAGCCUUUAAAUAAACGUUAUCUAUGAAGAACAAAUAGAUAACUUUUUUAAAUAAGUUCUAUAUAUGAUUUUUUUUUAAAUUUCAUUUGCUAAAUUUCGCGCUUCUCCUUCACUCUCUUUGUAGUUUCUGCUUAUUCGUUUCACUCUCUGUCGUUUUCAUAAUUGUGUGGCUUUCAUAAGUGCGUGUGGCGUAUUUGCUCCUUCGUUUCUGUUGUCGUUUUCAUCAGUGCGUGUGACAUUUCCUUCAGCUGUAGCAAUCCUUCGUUUCAGGGUUACCGUUUUAGGUAUCACGUUCUCUCUUCCUCUUCUCUUCUCUAUUUCGUUUCUUUUUUGCCAUAUUUUCAUGCGUUUUCCAAAUCUAAGGCAGUGAUGAGUGCAAACAUGGCCGCGACUAUCGCGAUUUCUCAACUUGGAUGCUUCUCCGUCGUUCACCGUUGUAUACACCUCCGCCGCUGCUAGCUUCUAGUUCCUUCUCCUCGCUCCAAGGUCUUUCUCCUCUUUCUCAUUUCCAAAUAGUUUAUUGCCACCGUCACAGUAACUUGGUAGGGUUUGUGGUAAGAACAAUUGCGUGCAUCAUUAGGCUCACGAAUGUACUAGGUAUUGCGUAGAUCUAAAUCACACGUUACCAAGGGAAGACUAAAGUAGUUGUCAUUGCAAAAAAUUAAGGGAACUCUAAAGUCGAUGACUUAGUAUCCAGAGUGACGUUGUCUUAGAAUUGCAAUUUUAGGUUCUUAUUAUGGAUUGACUAACUAUAUAAAUUUAAUACGUUUUUGAACUAAUUGGUUUCUCUUAGGGAAAAAAAUGUUAUCGUGUUUUGUUUAUGGCUUCUCGGUGGUUGUUUUAAUGAUUAUUUCUUAGCCAGUAUUUUCCUAACACGAUUUAGUGUUGAAUAUGGCGCUUUCUAUUCAUACAUCUGGUUUUCUGAUUUUAUUGGUUUCAGUCAUAGGAAUUUGUGAAUUUGUAUUACUUAAAAACCAGAUUACUAGAAGAGAAGAAGCAUUAAUAUAAAUCCAUUAUAUUUUGGAAUUCGGUAGAAAAAAAAAAGCAGUAUAUUGUUAUCAUAAGCAAUAUAUUUUUAAUCACCGGAAAUUUUGUAAACUUUGUUAUGAGUUUCUUUCACAUUAUGUGGUUUUUAUUAUUUUUUUAAUAUGGACGUAUGAUAGUUAUAAUUCUCUGUGUCCCAUUCCAUCAUAUCUAUUAUCCAGGUUCCUCUUGUGAUUUGUUUCGUUUUGGGGUAUCACUCAGACCUUCUAUACCUUACUUCCCUUCUACACACACUAACACACACACAUAUAUAUAAAUAUAUUAGCAAAAUGAUGAAAAUGAAGUUCUGAUGAUGUCCAAAUCAAGUCAAGAUAUAUCAAGAUUCAUGAAGAUCCUUUGAAGACUUGUUUUUGUUAUAAAAAGCUUUUGUAAUAAUUGUAGUUUAAUGUUUAGGACUUAGAUUUGUAGUAGUUUUGAUUCAUGUAAUUUCAUACUUUGUAUUUGCUGUUCAGAAUAAAAAACCGCACAAUUUUAAUCGAUUAAGUCAAGUAUUAAUAGAUUAAAAUGUUACAGGUGCUGAAAACUCAACUGGCAUGAAAAUAAUCGAUUAUUACCUAUUCUAAUCGAUUAAUUAAUCGAUUAAUUCUUAGAAUAAUCGAUUAAAGAUAGCCGUUGGAGUUUUCUGGUUUUUGAAAACUAGCCGUUGUACUCAUUUUAAUCGAUUAACACUUGUAUUAAUCGAUUACAAGCAUUAAAUGACCAGUUACGAAGAAUGGAAGAGUAUUUGCUUAAGUCUAUAAAUAGGCUCUCUUUUUCCAUCAUCAACAACUCUUCCCUUGUGCUCAAAUACUCAGAACUCUUUGAGAAUUGUGUGUUCUUGCUCAGCUAAGGAAACUUUUGUCUGUGGUGUUGGUACAUUGCUACUACGGUGACGGAGGAAUAGCUGGUUCAUCCUUGAUACAUCUAAGGAGGUGUGUGGAAGAGGAUCAUCCUUCGUGAAGUAUUCGAAGGAGGUGUCUCAUCCUUUGUGAAAAUUCAAAGGAGGUGCAUGUUCAUCUCUUGCGGUAUCAAGAGAGGUGAUUUCUAAACUCUUACAAAUUGUUUCUUUGUGAUUGAAAUUUGUAAUUGUUUUAUGAUUAAUGAAUUGUUUAUCUUGAUUUGAGAUUACCGACUGGACGUAGGAUUGGUAAGAUCUGAACCAGUAUAAAAAUUAUCUGGACAAAUUUCUCUCAACCUUACUCUUUUAUUUAUAUUUAUUAUUUGCAUAGUAAGAUAAAUUGAGUAGAAAUUAAAAGACACACGUUUAUAUUAAAAUCCCCCUUGGUUUGUUAUUUCAUGCUAACCAUUCCACUGCGGUUGCUCUGACAAUAUAUAUAUAUAUAUAUAUAUAUAUAUAUAUAUAUAUAUGUGUGUGUGUGUGUGUGUGUGUGUGUGUGUGUGUGUGUGUGUGUGUGUAUAAGACUUUUACAAAUGAGUUUAUGCAUAAACUAAAUUUAACUUAAAUUAUAAAAGAAACUAGUUUUUCUGCAAGUACUGGAUUAGAAUGGUUUAUUGUUCAUAUAUGCUUGUAUUGGUUUAUGUAAUUGUAGGAGAAUACCCAAACUAAAAAGCAUAUAGCAGAGUACUGGGAGUCUAUAUGAUCAAGUAUUCAAGUUGACCUUGUUAAUGAUUUGAUAGAUUGACACGUUUCUCCAUAUUUAGGGAAAGUCAUAUUAAGUCUAUGUGCUUGCACAUAUCUUUACUUCGAUCUUGCAAGCCGUAGGGCUAGAUAAUAUGGACAAGCUUGAAUAAUUGCAUAAAUAAUAUUUUUGUUAAAUAAAAGUUUUUUAGAGCAAUUAAUUGACAUUGAUACUGAACUGAAGCAUAUCUCAUUUAGUUACCAGUUGUUAUGAGUCUGGAGAGGCAUGACACAAAUACUGUUGGGACUGAUAUUGAAAAAACAGGGCUUGGACAGGAAAUACAAGGAAGUGUUGAUCAACCAAAAAAGACUGCAAAAACCCAUGACUUCUGUUUAGGCAUUCCCUUUGGUAAGUGUUUCCUUUGUGUGUAGAUGAUUUGCACAUUAGUUAAGUUAUAUGAUGCAUUUCUCAUACUCUGCUUGUUUGGAAGGAAACAGAGGGGUAGAGAUUAUUAUUUUUAUUUUAUUUUAUCCUAUUAGAGUGAAAAGUAGAAGAAAUGGGAGAGCUAAAAUCCCCUCUCUGCCUACCUUCAAUAUUAGGGAGGGGGUGUUUGGAGGAGAGGGAAGGUGAAUUAUAGUUUUUAGACUGUGUAGAAUGAAUUAUCUCAAUUUAUUUACUUUUCAUCUCCACCAUUACUUUUCAUUGGGGUGUGACAGUAUUUUUCUCCCCCUCUCUUGCAAACAAAAUAAGGUGAUCAUUUCUUUCCCUCCCAUGCUUUGUACAAAGUACAAUAUUAGUGUGGACGACAGUGUUUGGUUUAAUUGCUCUUUUAUCGCCUUUAAUUAUCAAGAAAAAAGUGACUCGAUUGUUGUUGACAAGUUAAGUAUGACAUACAUUGUUUAUUGGAAUUUUGGUUUAUUAUUAUGUUCAAAUUAUAAAGAUGUUUUUUACUUUUGGAUUUUUAGUGUUCAAGACAAUCCAACAGUAAUGAUUGUGAGUAUUAUUUGUGUCAAUAUAUGAGGGAAAUUAUCACGUACUAUGAAAGAGGAACAAUUCCAACUCAUGUAAGUUAUCUUUAUUAUGAUAAUUAAUUUGUAGUAAAAUUUAAUUAACUAAUUAUAUAUUAUUUUUCUUUUUUGCAAUAUUUUUCUAAUUGCAGAUGUCAACAAUAUCGUGACAGUAAAAUCAUUGAAGUUGGGGAAAAUUGAUUUUUACAUGUAAUUAGUACAUGCUUAUAGGUUAUGUUAUGGUGAUGUACAUGCUUAUAAGUACUGAUAGGAUAUAUAUGUUAUGAUUGUAUAUAUUAUCUCAUAAAGCAAUGUCAUAUCAUGACACGUACUAGACAACUUAACAAUUAUAUUUUGAAAUAUUAUUGUACCAAUAGUUUUUAUUCAUAUCAACGAACAUUCUUUUUUAUACCUUUGUCAUAAUUUUCUCAAUAUUUUAUAUUUUUUUUGUAUAUAAUAGAACCAAUAGAUGGCGUGGCUUUGUACAUAAUAGAACCAAUAUUUUAUAUUUUCUUUUUAAAAAAAUAUUUUAUAUUUUUUGAAAUAUUUUAUUCUAAAAUUAAUUAUUUUUUUUUUAAAAUUAGACAAAUAGAUAGUGUUUUUCUAAAAAAGCGUUAUCUAUUGUCAACCACCAAUAGAUAGUGCUAUCUAUUGAUGAUUGACAAUAGAUAACGCUUUUUUUAGAAGCGCUAUCUAUUAAUAGAUAACACAAAUAUAGAUAGUGCUUAAAAAGCGUUAUAUAUGCUCUUUUUUUUUAGUAGUUAACUGUUGCACCUCUUUCAGGUUUUGAGGGCUUUUGAUCUUUAUCACUACUCGACACUUAUCUAGGUUUGCUUCAAUUCCCCGAGAGGUCAACAUGAAACCUAAGAAUUUUCCAGCAGCCACCUUGACCGUGCACUUAGUUUGGUUCCAACAACAACCAAGAAGUAUCUUACCCUCAGCUCCUUCAUGUCCCGAUCGGUUCUUAGGCAUGUCCUUUGAUCUACGUACCCCGUCGUAUCCACUCAUUCUCCUCCAAACCCAACAAUCUGCUCAUUGUAAGGAACAAUUGAAUAUUUCGACAAGUCCAUCUUUUGGAAGGUUUUCUAAUAAAGGAUGUUAAUGGAACUUCCUUGGUCAAUCAACAUUUUGUUUACGCUGUACUGAGCUAUUUUCGCAGUUAUAACCAUUGGGUCGUCUUGAUCGGGAUCUAAGGCAUGGAAGUCCUCAUCUAAAAAUGUGAUCAUCGACAUCGAUCUUUGCCUCCUAUUCACUUGAUGAACGGUUUUUAACACCGUAAUGUGCCUUUAGAAAUCGUAUUUAUGUGACCACGUAACAGACGGUCUUGACUUCGGCUUCGACAUCGGUUAGCGUACUAACGCACGUCUCGCCGAGGGGGUUGAUCGAAACUUCUCCUCUAAGGAGGGCUUCUCUCCACUCGCUCGAUUUUUACAUACUUUCGGAGAUAACGGUAGUGCCCAAGGAGUAUGACACACUCCUCGGUUAUGUGCCCAAGGUUUUGAUGAUAACGGUAAUGCUUCUUACUGUCAACAUUCCUCAGGGUUGGCUUCUUCUUCAAAGGGGGAAGGUGAUAACGGUUCAAAAACCGUUAUUUUUAUACUUGAAUUUGAUGCAAAACACACCCUUUAUGAUUUAGAAUUCGCUUGAAAUCAUGCAUUUUGCUUAAGUUAGGAAAUAAGAGAGUCAAAGGUGGUUUUCUUGGUUUUAUGCUUGGUUUUCCCAUGAUUUGGCAGGAUUUAUUAGGAAUUGAAUGGAGGAAGUUGAAGUAGAGAAGAGUUGGACUCAAAAGAAUUUGGAAAAGUGAACAAAAGAGGAAACACAGCCACCACUCAGCACUGACCUAGUGCUGAGCGCCAGUUUCGUUGGAGGAUUCUCUGUCAAACGCUCAAGUGCCAACGUUGAGGGGUGAAAUUGAGUGUCGAGCCCACCGUUGAGCGCUACCUACCACUGAGCGUUGGCUUCUCUAGUGACUUCACUACCAAACACCUGGGCAUCAAAGCUGAGCGUCCCUCUUGAGUACCAUACCAAGCGUUGAGCGGUGGCCCAGCGCUGAGCGCUAUACUUUUGGGCCUGGGCCAGUUUCUGCUUCGUUUUAAUGAAUUAUAAAUAGAUUUGGACGACCUAGAUGGUCUAUCUUUUGGCAGAAGAAAUGCAGAAACACACUUCUCACCCCUUGGAGGCGGAUUUUGGAUGCGAGAACUCCAACUUAUCAAAUCUAGGGUUUAUCUUUUCAUUCUUUUCAUUAUUUUGAUCUAGUUUCACCACGAUUAUGGUGAACUAAACCUCCCUUGUUGUUGGGGAAUUGAUGUAAUCUUUUGAAACUCUCAUAUAUUGAAUUGUCGCUUUAUUCAUUUGCUUUUAUUCAUUAAUUGUUAGGGUUUUUCCCCUUUUCUCUAUGCAUGCUUUGUUUAAUUCAUUCAAUAUCAUGAUCUUUGAUUCUAUCUUUAUGGACACAUAUAGAUAUAUCUAGACAUGGUGAAAUUCUCUCGGGAGCAAUAUUACCUAGACAUAGCAAUGGGAGGACCGAUUACCUUAAGCUUCUGUGUGAAUUAUGUAAUGCAUGAUCAAUUGCUAGGGAGACAAGACAUUGUAAACUAGUAAUUAGGAGUAGUCUCUUUUCACCAAGACAUUGGGAUUAAGGUAAAUUAGUGUCGCAACCGGAAUCGCGACGGGACGACGAUCCAAAAAGAAAACGAGUUUGAAAAAGAGUUUUGGAGUCGCCACCAUAGUUUAUUCUGGAAAACUACGGAAAAACCAUAAAACGACACGGCACAGUCUACAAGAACCAGAUUCUAGGUUCGGGAGUCGGUUACGUGUGAGGAAGGUGUUAGCACCCCACAACGCCUGCCCUAAGGCAGUACCUUUAACUAAAUACGCGAAUUUGAUGUGGUUUGCAAGAUGUUUAAUUUCCCCUAAAAAUAUAAACUCUAAAGAAAACAAAAUAUAUUUUUUAUUUUUUUUUGUGCCCGACAAGGAUUGACCUCGCUCCUACGUAUUCUCAAAGUGAGAAAUCAGGGUUACGUAGUUCUUUAAAAACUGAUUGGAAAUUUUGUUUGGAGAAUUGUUUGGAAACAUGAUGUUUUAUAUUUUUUGUUAAUUUUUUUGAAAGAAAAAGAAAAAGGUUUUCGACACAAGGCUGACGCGAAUGGUCGCAUGUGUGCUUAAACCUUUUAAAAUAUUUUUGCAUUUUUUGAAAGAAGGAGGAAAAGGUUUUGACACAAGGCUGACGCGAAUGGUCGCACGUGUGCUUAAACCUUUUAAAAUAUUUUUGUAUUUUUGAAAGAAGGAGGAAAAAGUUUUAACACAAGGCUGACGCGAAUGGUCGCACGUGUGCUUAAACCUUUUAAAAUAUUUUUGCAUUUUUGAAAGAAGGAGGAAAAGGUUUUAACACAAGGCUGACGCGAAUGGUCGCACGUGUGCUCAAACCUUUUAAAAUAUUUUUGUUGUUUUUAAUAUUUAUGUAUGUUUUUUUUAUUUUUUUAUUUUUGAAAAAAAUGUAGAGAAAUAUCUAAAAUACGAAAGAAGAAGAUAAAAAAAAUUUAUAAUAAAAUAAAAAAAGAAAUAAAAAUAAAAAUAAAAAAAUAAGUAAAUAAAUAAAUAAAAUAAAAAGAAAGUAAAUAAGAAUAAAAACAUAUUUAAAACCAACUUAACUCUAAAAACAAAUUGGGCCCAAGCCCAAGUGGUCAGGGGUACGAAAAUGAAAACAAGGGGGCUGCAAGGAGGAAAAUUGAAUGGGUUUAAGCCCAAGAAAGAUGGGGUGCGAUCCAGCAGAAUAAGGGGGUGCAGAACAGGUUUUUGUUUGUUUUUGGUCGGCCCAGUGGUCCAAACAGAAAAUAAAGGGGGCGGCGAAAAUGUGAAACAGGGGGGGUGCCAGAGGAAAGUGUUGCCUUUUAUGUUGGACCCAGAUCCGGCCCAGGAUCCCACUCUAACUCAGAAAGGCAGGGGUUUCCUCAUUCUUCCCAUUCUCAUUCAUUCAAGAAAAUAGAAGAGACCUAGGGUCUCUCCUCUCCCAGGCGCGGCACACACACCGGUUUCCUCUUCUCCAAACGGCAGCUGCCCUCCGGCGGGACCCAUGGCGACACCGGCGUCCUCACCACCAUCCGGCCAGCCACCGCAGGCCGCGACGGCCUCACCCUCUCUCCUUCUUUUCUUCGUGAACGACGCCACCAAGCCAGGGCCGCCACUCUCCGUCAAACUCUCGCCGGCCACCGCUCCAGCUCUGGCCUCGCCGGCGCCACCACACCUUCGAGAGAGAGCAGCGAUUUCACAUCCUCCGCCACCAAACUACCGGAGCUACCGCCAGCUUAGACGCGAAACCCCCCUUUCCCCUUUCUCGCGUGAGAACAGGGAAGCGUCGUGCUUCCUUCCUUCAACCGGCCACCACCGCGAGCCGCCGUCGUCACAGAAACAAUGACCCCGUCGGACCAAAACUGAGAAACCACCGCGCCUCCGGAAGUCCACGCGAACUCCAGUCGUCGCAGCCACAGCGAUCACCACGUGAAUCUCUUCUAUNCAAAUCUCUGUUUUANUACACACUCAUUCNAUAUNGGAGUGGGAUUCUCACAUUUAUGGGAUUUUUCAUGUUCUUGCUGUUUUUCUUGUUUGGGCGCUUGCAGGUUAUAGGCCAUGAAUCACUUGGUUUCAAGGAGGAUUUGGCAUAUAGAGUGNCGUUGUUGAAUUUCUUAGUUUUUGAUUGCCUUACAGCUUUGUAGUGUGUUUUCUAGGUGUAAGCAAAUGAUAUUGAAAUCCGAUGCUUGGGGAAUAUACGUCUAUUUCCUAUUGUCAUUUAUAUCUGAUGAAUUUUGUUGGCAUUGAAACUAUGUUUUGGAUGCAGUUUUGGUUAACAGAGAUGUGACAAAGCAAGCGAACACAACUAUCUACACUGAUCAAAUAUCAUUCGUUCACCUCCCAGCACAUAUAAGGAAAGCACAAUCAUGAGCAUUAGAUGGGCACGGCCAAAGAGCUUAUGUAUAAGACUUACCUCCGCAGCUUCAAACCGUUCCUUUUGGUUCCACUCUCUCUGGCUCCCUUAGACCUUGGAUUGCUAAGAUAUUCUUGCAGGUGCUGGAAAGCCACGCUGAAAGCAAAUGAUUCUCCAUCCCUUUGGCCGUGAGGCCUCCUCUUCCCAAGCUGUGAUAACCGGUGACUGUGAUGAUAGGUGAUGGUGAAACGUUGAACUAAAUGCUCUCUGGCUCUCGGAGUUUCCUCUGCUCAUGAAAUGGUGGACGCCAUCACAAAGACUGAGACUGAAUGAUGAUUGAAGAUGCAGGUCCAAAGAGGUUGCCUUUCUUCUUUGUAUGCAAAUGACUGUUCUUCCCCGACGAGAGGGAGUCAAGAAUGUUUUUCUUUUUGUUUCCCCCUCCCUCUGCUGUUUAAGGUCUCUUCUUCUUAUUUACUGUGAUGAAUUCCCAUUCAAAAACCAAACCCCAGCCCUGCGUCCUGGGAACAUAUCUUCUGACUUGGGAUUCGCUCUUUGUUUUUUUCUACGUUAGUGUUUAAAUUUGAUCAGAUGGUAAAAGGCGUUGAGGUAUCUUUACUUCUUUGGUGUAUGGCACCACUUUGCAUAGAGAUUUUUGGCAAGAGUCACACAACUGUUCUUUCAUGGGCAUUGUAUAAGCCAUUUCGAGCUUUCCUCUGUAAAGAUGUCUGAUGCCAGUGUUGAUUUACGUUGCAGGAAAACAAAGAGGCUAGCAGUUGACUUUGUGAUUUUGUUUUUGUUUCCUUCUGUUUUUUUUUUGUUUCCUUUUUCCUUUUUUCGUUUCAUUUCAUUUUUUGUUUUUUUCCUUUUUUUUUUCAUCUUUUCUCAUAAAAAUUAAAGUAAAGGUAAAAAACGACAAAAAGAAAAUUAACUCAAAAUAAAAUCAAUAACUCUAAACCAUCAAAAAGUAAAAUAAAAAGUAAAAAAAGAAUUAAAAUAAAAAUUAAUAUAAAAAUGAAAACAAAUAAAGAUAAAUAAGUAAAAUAAAAUAAAAAUAAAAUAAAAGAUAAAAAAAAAAACUAAAGAUAAAAAAUGAAAAUUAGAUAAUAUAACAAAAAACAAAACGAUAAAAAGAAACAAGAUAAAAAUAAUAUUUUUGUCACCCGGACGAAAUUGGGUAUUGACAAUUAGAAAGUGGCAUUAACAUUAAUGAAAAAGUCAAAUUCUUAGAUAUAUGAGAGUGGAUAAGAUAAAAUCAUAAACCCUAACAACAUAAUUCAUUCAUACAUUAAUCACCUGCGUUAUCUUUUUGGUCAAUUGAUCAAAACCUUGCAUGUUUAUUUUCUGUCUUGCAUAUAAAACUCUAAUUUUCAUUUUCUCAAGUCUAAAAAUAAUCAAGAAAUCACAUGAAAGUCUAGGCCUAUGAGUCUCUAGGGAAACGAUACUCGGUCUUACCGUUUAUAUAUUACUUGAUACGAUUCGGCACACUUGCCGAAGACUUAACAGAAGAAGGUCAACACUCAGAGCUUCUUCUAAAAUCCUAGCACUUUGAGCGUUUAAAGGCAUGUAUUGGUUGAAGUUGGGUACCCAUGGGAGGUUCUUUGGUUUUGGGCCAACUCUUUUAUCUCCGUGAACGAACAAUUUCUUGCCAUCUUUCUGUUUCCCCCCGGACGAUGAAGUUGUCGCCUCAUCCUGCUCCCUCUUUCGAAACGUGUGCAUUUCCUCUAUGUGCACAAAGUCGACGAUGUUACCAAUGAGGAGCAUUGAUGCCUUGAAAUGAUUUUGAUGAUGAUACACUUAAAGACUUGAAGAAUCUAUUUUGUAAAUGUUAAAAGCACUCAUUGUAGAAAUCAUUGUAUAGGAAUCAUUUUGCAAUUGUAAAAGCACUUAGAAGUUUCUUUAACUAGUAAUUCUUUACGACAAUAAUCGAUUAUCACAAGGGAUAAUCGAUUAUCACAAGCUAAAACAGAAAAGAGUUGCUCGCAACAAUAAUCAAUUACCAUAGGGGAUAAUUGAUUAUCCUUGCUAGUUUUGAUAUUGUACAAAGUUCGACAAUAAUCGAUUAUCACUAAGGAUAAUCGAUUAUCACUAAGGAUAAUCGAUUAUCACGUUUUCUAAAAACCCAUAAUGGCCUAAAAUAAUCGAUUAUCACUUAUGAUAAUCGAUUAUCACUGGCAGUUGGGAACAAGUUUUUCAUUUUCUGACCCUUGGCCUAUAUAUAUAUAUAUAUAUAUAUAUAUAUAUAUAUAUAUAUAUAUAUAUAUAUAUAUAUAUAUAUAUAUAUAUAUAACCCUCCUAAACCUUUAAGAGGUUAACUAAACUACUUGAGAGCACAGAUCGGUUAUGAGGAAGUUCUUUGAGUUUAAGUGUGAGUUCAAUCAAGUCUUGUGAAAAAGAGAAGCUUGUGUUUAGUGCGUCUAAGGUCCAAGCAGUUCUCUUCAAGUUGAUUGAGCUGGUUUCUUUCCAUCAUGUGUCGAAGGAAGGUGUUUUAUGUUUCUAAUAUUUACAUUGCUUUGUUUGAAAUUUGAAAUUUAAUUAUAGUGAAAAUAUUAAUCACUCUUCAUAGUGAUUAACGACUAGACGUAGAAUUUGUUGAUUCGAACCAGGAUAAAAAUCCUUUUGUUUGACUUUCUCUAUCCUUAUACUUUUUGUUUACAAACAUAUUGAUAAAUUUAAUGAAAGAAAAUCAUAAAUUUUAAAAGAACCAAUACACCCGUCCCCUCUUGGUUAUUAAUUGUUUUCACGCUCUCUAAACGUUCCGCUUCACGAUAUCAAUCUCAAUAGGCGGCCCUCUCCUGUAGCUCGUUUGUGGUCUUGGGCGACCUAGCACACAGGUUGUCCGCAAAUGGGUCGGCGUUCAACGUCGUUGAUAGAUUGUUAAGUAUGAAUUCCUGACUCACAACUUUCACCUAUCGAGCGGUCUUAUUGUAACUGUCCAUAAAGUUUUUUAGUGACUCAUCCUCCCUUGCUUAGUGUUGAUUAACACUAGGUAGGUAAGACUUUGGACUCGGCGAAAGGCAUACUACCUGUUGAACAAGGUACGUAUGGUUGUGAAACAGUCCACCGUGUUCGGAGGUAGAGUGUUAAACCAUGCCAACGCUUCUCCUUUUAAUGAUAGAGAAAAUGCUCGGCACAACACCAAGUCACUAGAUGAGUAAAAGGCCAUAGUGUUUACAAAGGAGCGAAGGUGCUCAUCCAGAUCAGUCGAUUUGUCAUACUUCUUGAACAUCGGGGGCAUUUUCUUCUCUGGCAUUGGAGCCUCCAUCACCACAACUGUGAGCGGUAGUAAUCCCUCUGCUUGAACGGUUUGAACGGAAAGGGUGGUUCUAGCUGGGGCGCUACUUACUUCCUGUUUGAUCCGGCUUGGUUCCCCCGCCUGACUGUUCUCACUCGAACGGGUGGGAGCAUGUGACAUGGAUUGAUGGGCAGACUGCUCCCUCCAUACGAUAGAACGUUCGACCCUCAACCCUCAACGUAGCUACUUCAAUGUCAUGUCUUCUCUACAUUUCUUGCAUUUGUCGCUGCAUUCCUCGAAUUAACUCCAUCGGAUCUAGUUGUUCUCCCAUGUUCCUCGUGGUCACCAUUGGGCUUCUUCUAUCAUCCUCGACCCCAUAAUGAGCGUCAAAAUGUUUUGGUUUAAGGGGUCGAGGAUUUGCCUCCUUACUUAAGUGUUCCACACUCCCACGUCUUGAUCAUCAAAUAUUUUGUAGAUGCUCUUGAGCUGUUCGGUAUGUUUAGGAGUUACCUGCAAAAGACAUUCUCUCAAGUCAAUGAUUUUUCUCAAUAAACUUGUAUUAAACAGGGUUAUGAAAAGUGUAUAUUACCUUAAUGUCAAACCUAUAUUAUUCUUAUUAAUCUCCAGUUAAUGACUUUUAUUGCUUCAAUCAAUUACCCAUUAAUAACCUUAGUUAUUGUCUCUGCCAAUCGAUUGUUGGCUUAUUGGUUGACCGACCGUCGGUCCGUUGACAGACCCUAGAGUCAUAUUUUGCAUGGUAUUGUGACGCCAUAACAUUUGCAACAACUUAUAACGUGUUUACAUAAUAAUAUAAAAUUAGAGUUUACACUUUUACUAAGUUUUAUGUAACUUGUGGUUCAAUUUUUUUUACCUUAUUUUAAUAUUUAUAAACACUAAUUAAAUUUAUUUUGAUAAAAUUUAAUAGGUCAUAAAUUUUCCACGAUCCAAUAUGUAGAUGUAGAUUGAUAUAUUUAUAGUUCAACAUUAUUAUAUAUAUAUAUAUAUAAAAGUAAAUAUUAAAUGUGUUAAGGUCAUUAUAUUUUAUUAGCCAAUUUUAUAAAGUGAUCUAAUUAAGAUAAAUAUGGCUAAGGAUAUAUUUGUCAUCAAAGGUAUUGUGUAGAGACCAGCAAUAAUUAGAAUUUGUUGAAGGGGUCAAAUUGUAAUUAUUGAAACUAAAGAAUAUUAACCGCUAGAGAGGUCAUGGUCUCCAUUUGUGAGCAUAACGAUUCAUCCUGUUUCUUUCUCUUUAUCCCCAUCAAAAGAAAAAAAUCAAGAGGGAACUAAAGGUGCUCUUAAGUGGAAGAUCAUUGACUAAUUUCAGAUUGAUCAGACUAAUUCAGGUUCAUUAAUUAUUCUCAAUGUUUUCAUACAGGCUUCCAUUUUACUAUUUGGGAACUCAUUUGAUAUCUGUGAAUCAUAAAUUCUAACACCCUUGUUAUCUUGUGUAUAUAAACUCGUUUAAAAUUUUUAUAUUUAUUUGAUUCAAAUUUUAAUAACUAAUUUUAAUAAAUAUUAGAUUUAAUAACAAAAUAUUCAAUACUUAAUACAAAUAUUUAUUGUUAUAUUUAUUUAGUAAUACUUAAUUUGAACGUUUUAAAAAUGAGAGAUACAUUCCAUAUUUAAAAAUUUAGUUUAAGAACUCAUGUGAUUUUGAAAAUGGGUAUUUAUUAUUUUCGGAUUUUGAAAUUUUUAUUGAAAUCAUGUAAACAUUUCUACCAAAUUUUAAAAUCGUUGAACACUAGUAUAAUAUAUUUACGUAUAAAAAUUCAUAAAUGAUUUAUUAUUAAUACUAUUAAUAUAUUAAAACUUAUAUAGUGAUAUUAAUGAUAUUAUAACUUAGUAUAAUAAUAUUAAUGAUAUAAUUUUCCAUAAUUAACUAUUGUAGUAAUAAUUUAUCAAUUUUGACUAUUUUUAUUUAUUAUAACCGAAUUUUUCACGACACCAUAAUAUUUUUUGUAAACUAUUUUUGUAUAGUAUUCGGACACCAUAAUAUUUCCAAGAAUUGAUAACAAGUUUACAUAAUAAUAAAAAAUUAUAGUUUAUACUUUUAAAAAGUUUUUGUAGUUCAAUUUUUUUUUAACUUAUUUUAAUUUCAAAUACUAAAACACUUAUGAAUAUAUAUCAGAUUUCAAAAUUCUAUUAAAGGCUCCAUCCUAUUUCUACCUUCAUUUAAACUAUACUAAACUAUUAUAAACAAAAAUAAUUGAACAAACGAUGUAUUGAAGUAAAGAGUUAAGAAAGAAAAGAGCAAGACAAAAUUCGGUACAAAAAGUUGGGUGGAGAUGAACAAAGAUGAAAGAAGCACGAAAAGAAGAUGCCGCUAAGUUUAGGUCAAGAAAAGUGAAAGUAAAAAUGGGUGAUAGAUGAGUAGGAUAAUAAUAGAAAUUUUUUUGUUUAUCCUUAUUAAUUUAGAUGUACACGGAUAAACUUUCUAAAAUUUGAAAGUAAAAUUUGGAAUAGCAUGAAAAAAAUCCACUCAUUUAAAGGAUAUCACUUAGAAGGAAGAUGUAAGUUUUAACAUUUCAUUAUUAUAAAUAUUGGGAAUCAAAGUCAGGUUUUGAAGGAUAGUCAAGACCUUGUAGAGCUUGUAUCUUUGGGAUAUAUCCUCAUCUGAAUAUGAAGGAAUGAACCAGUACUUCUUGUCCAUUCCAGAAACCUGAUAUCCAACCAAACAUCAAUCAUAAUGUAACCACAUAUAUUAGUCAAUAAUAAUACCAGAACAAGACCACCCCACCAUCCAUAAGUCCAUGUUCUGUUACUUUUUUAGUGUUGUUACUCAGCUAAGCUUCAAAAUUCACUGAUUUUGGUAUAUUAAAACAGCUUCAAGUAACUUUUAUGUUAGAUCACAAGUUUCAUACAGUUAAAUUGACAACUUGAUUUUUUCAAUAAGAACACUCAUACAGUUAAAUUGACAAUUUCGUUUUUACUGUUUUGAAAGUACAAAAUAAUCAACUUCUCUUAUUCGCCCAAUGCAGAAAGGAUUGAACUUGUGAGUAAAUUAUUUGAUAGAUGUAAUUCCAUUAAUUGCGUCAAAUUUCCAAGUUAUAUAUCUGCAAAUUGGUUUGAAUCAACAUAAAAUCUGACCACAUUCUUCAAUAGACCUAAUGUACAAUAGAUUGAACCAGUUAGGCAAUUAUUAUGGAGAGACAAUGUAUCCAAUUGUGCUAAAUUACCAAGUUCUUGUGGUAUUGAACCUGCAAUUAAUCCAGUGAGAGUAAGAAAUAGACAUUUGAGAUUCUGCUAUUGNAAGAAUUCAGAAAGACUUAAAAGUUCUUUAGGCACAGACAUACCAUGAUGAUGAUUAUUGCCGAGAUUAAAAACAUAUUUGGUCUCUGACAAACAUCAAUGGAAAAUAUCAAACAAUUGGAAAUAAAAUCAUUGAUUUCACCUUUGUACUAAUCAGUUAAACAAACUCUACAAAUAAAAUGUAAUGUCAAAGAAAAUAGAAGUUUGAUAGCAAUCCCAAAUGCAAAGUAAAAAAUAAUAAUGUAUCAACCCUUGACCAAGAAAACAUCAGCAGCAGAGGUUACAACCUAAACCAACUCAUCUAAUACAAAAUUACAAAUCAUUCAUGCACAUUCUAUGACAAACACAUUGUUAUUCAAAUAAGGUGUCACCUUUCAUCAAUUCAACAAGUCUCUCGAGAUCAUUUCAUAAAAAAAUUUCUCUGCCUUUUCAGUCUCUUUGUUCUUAAACAGAGCAGAGAUGAUUAUUUGAAAAGUUAUAACAUUAGAUAAGCAACCACUGUCUUCCAUUUUGGACCACAAGGUCAAUGCUUCAUCAAGCAAACCCUGCUUACAAAGACCACUGAUCAUAACAUUAUAAGUAGGGAUGUCGGGACUGUGACCUUUAUUCAAUAAAUCUUGAAAAAUCUCUCGUGCAUUUUUAAGUCUCCCCCCUUUACACAUGCCAUCAAUAACUAUGGUUGCAGUGCACAUAUCGGGCUGAAUUCCAUUCUCUCUCAUUUUCCUCAAUAAUUCAAUUGCCUUGUCUAGAUGUUGAUUUUUGCAUAAACCAUCAAUCAAAGAAUUAUACAUGAUUACAUCUGCUUGUUGAUUUCUACCAUGCAUCUCAUGAAAAAGAUCCCAAGCAUGAGAGAUUCUUCCAGUUUUGCAUAAACCAUCAAUAAGAGUAUUAUAAGUCACAGUAUUUGGAAUUAUAUUCCUGUUCUGCAUUUCCUGAAAAAGAUUUAUGGCCUCAUCCACCCUUUCGUUCCUUAUGAGUCCAUUUAUCAUGAUAGUGUAGGUCCAAACAUUAGGACUCACUCCCAUGUGGGUCAUUGCACUGAAUAUUUGUUUCGCAUUUUUCACUUUAUUAACUACGUAAUACCCAUCCAUUAGAGCAUUAAAGCUAAAAACAUCAGGUUUCACGUAAUCUUUCACCAUCACACCUAACACAUUCUUGGCUUCUCCUAACUUUCUUUCCUUACAUAAUGCAUCAAUCAAUAUAUUAUAGGUAUAAACAUUUGGCCUAAUGCUAUUUGAUACCAUUUCAUUUAGAAAACCAAAUGCUACCUCUACCUGUCCCACUAAGCAAAAGCCAUAAAUUAGAGUAUUAUAAUUAACAAGAUUAAGAGAAAUUCCUUUGAUAACCAUCUCGGAAUAGAAAUCAUAAGCUUCUUUUGGACGUUUCUCUUUUAAUAAAGAAUCAAUAAUAAUGUUAUACAUUACCGUUGAUGGACCUUGAAUCUUUCGGAGCAAUUCGAUGGCGGCUUCAGUUUCACCUAUUUUGCUCAAUCCAUUGAUCAAUAUCCCAUAAGUAAAUUGGUUGAGCCGAAAUCCUAGUGCUACUACUUUAUCGUGAAAAUUGAGGGCUUCCUUAACCUCACCGUUAUCACAUAGACCUCUCAUGAGUGUAUUUAAGGUUAUGGCAUUUGGAUGAUAACCCCUUUUGAGAAUCUUGACAAAUACAGAGAAAGCAAAAGGCAAUUGGUUUAAGUGACAGAAACAAUUGAUGAGGAGACUGAGAUUAACAAAGUUAUUGUGAAUUCCCUUGAGCUCCAUUUGCUGAAUGAGAGAAAUAGCAGUAGGGUAGCGCUUCACCCUCACAAGAAAUCCCAAAAUCUUUCCAAAUUCGAAGAUGGGAGGAACAUGACGCUGAUGAAGCAAGCGAUUGAAUUGUGAGACGGCUUCGUCGUGUAAGGAAGUCUGAGGGUGAGAGUGAGAGCAAAAGAGGGAAUUGUGGAUUGGAAGAAAUGGAGGAAACUUGGCAAUGGAAGGAAGAAGAGAAACCCUAACACUUCUUGAGAGCCACAUAUUUGCUGCAACAACAAUAGUAUGGCAUUCUUCAAAUUUAUGUUUUCUUCAUUUUUAAAAAGCUUAACUUGUAUGCUUUGAAUAUUUUGUUGGGACAAAUUUAAUGAAUUUAAAUUUUUUAAUUGGAUAAAAUUUUUAUAAUUACCUCUAAAUUUUAAAAGUUAUUUAAAUUUGAAAUAAUUAUUAACACUUACACCUUUAUUCUAAGUUACAUCCUUUUUCUUGUACUUUCAAAAUUUAUUCCUGUGUUUCCGAAUUUUGUCUUAAUGUAAAAACUAUAUUUUUAACGGGUAAAAGAAAAUUUCUCUCAUUAUUAUUCAAACAAAAUCCUUCUCCUAUCCUUAUUUUGCCUAUUUAUCACUCAUUUUUCUUAACUUAAACUUAAACAUAACCGAACUUCUCUUUCGUGUCUGCCUGUCUUUGAUUAUGGUUAAAACUACUUAAGCGUCCCUGUUUUCGUAAGGUCUUCCCAUUUUGGUCCCGUUCUUAUAAAACUUUCCAAUUGAGUCCUCAAAAGUACUAAUUUGAAACAAUCCAACCCCUACCGUUAAAAAUCGUAACGGCCGUUUAAAUAUCAAUGACGUGGCAUUAUAAAUUAAUUUUAUAUUAAUAAUUAUUAAUAAAUAUUUGUGUGAUCAGGAUUUUAGAAGGGUAAAUUUGGAAUAGAAAAUAAUUUCUUCUGCAGAACCCAAACAUAGCUCCCACUUCAUCUUCUUCCUCCGCAAAACNCAUAGUUCAUCUNCUUCCUCAAACCAACCNUAAAACANAAAUUUGCAUAUCUCGGAAUUUCGAUCUUUUUCCUCAGACCGAACAAAAAUAACCAAAUCCUUUAUAAAACCCUAAUUUCGAUCUUUUUCCCCAAUUCAAUUUGUCGAGCCCGCCACCGUCACAGUAGAGCCCGUCGCCAACGCUGCCAAGAGCCGAUGGAGCUUCAUAGGGUCAGUGGCGCUUCUCCCUUUGCUUCUUUUGUUCUGAUAAUUGUAGCCAUCUCCCUGUAUUGGGUUUCGUCUUCUGUAUGUAUCUACUGUGUGAUGAACCGAAAGAAAGGAUUUAAUGCUUCGAAUCCAAGAAUUUGGAUGGAUUGGUGUGCGAUGAUGGGAAAGCGUAGUGGAGAUUAGGGGGCUGAUUUGGUCUUCUCCGUUUUGAUUUGAAUCUAUUCAGAGUUUUGGGAUUUUUCUGAGGUCACAGAAGAAAUGCUUGGUUGAUCUUUUUGAGUCGCAUCAUGCAACUCUCCAGUUUCAUCACUGGAUCUGCCAAAGCUCUGUGCUGAUUCAUCCUGGAUAGCAUAAGAACUCUGCAGAAUGUUAAAGAAAUGAUUAAAUUGAUUUUUUUCUACGAUUUUUUAGAAAAAAAUAAAUUAAAUUGCUUUACGAUUUUUGCAGAACGAAAUUCAGAAGUCUCGUUACCACUAUUUUAUUGGACAAAAUUCAUAAAAUCGCUUGACCCCUCAUUUGUCCUUCCUGAAAUUGAAAACUGGCUAUCAAUUUCAGUCUCACAGACAACAGACAUGCACUACAAGACUUUCAUGGAUAUAUACUAAGGGUUAGUUGAGUCAGCAUUCAAUCAUGUAAAACCCUGAACCGAUAGUAAUUUUGGAUUUAUAAUGUUAUUUCUUAUUUGUUAGUUUUGAUGGGUAUUAGGUUGGCUGCAUCUAUUGCUUUGGAGGAAAAAGAAAAGUUAGUAAAUAAUGCAUCAACUUCUGUUGGGGCUUCCACUAUUGAGGAAGAUGAGUUCAGGUUCUGGGGAGGAGGAAGAAGAAAGUUUCCACUUUACCCUUUUAUAAAAUCUAUAUUCAUUAAUAGCUUUUAAUAUAAAAUUUAUUUAUAAUGCCACGUCAUCAAAUUUAAACGGCCGUUAACAAUUUUUAACGAUAGGAGUUGAAUUGUUUCAAAUUAGCACUUUUAAGGACUCAAUUGGAAAGUUUUAUAAGAACGGAACCAAAAUGGGAAGACCUUACGAAAACAGAGACGCCUAAGUGGUUUUAACCUUUGAUUAUUUUCACCUCAUUCCUGCAUCGAAUUUUUGUCUUGUACUUCUCUUCCUUAACUCUUUUUCGUAAUAAAUCAUCAUUGUUUAAUUACAUUUAUUUGUAAAUAUUUAAUAUAGUUUAGAUGACGGUAGAAGAAAUAAGGUGAAAACCUCGACUUUUAGAAUCCGGUAUUUAUUAAUUAGUGUUUUAAUAUUUAAAAUUAAAAUAAGUUAAAAACGUUGAAUAAAAAAUUACACGAAACUUUGUAAAAGUAUAAAUUAUAUUUUUUAUUAUUAUGUAAACUUGUUAUCAAUUGUUGGAAACGAUUAUAGUGCCACAAUACCGUACACAAAAUUAUUAAUUUGAAAGUAGAACAAUUAUUACUAAUGAUUAAACAUGUACAAAUAUCAUAAAUUAAAUUAAUUAUUUAAAAAAUACAGUUUGUUUUCACUCAUGAAUUCGGUUAUAAUAAAUAAAAAUAGUAAAAAUUGAUAAACUAUUACUACAAUAAUUAAUUAUGAAAAAUUAUAACAUUAAUACUAUUGUACUAUGAAUUAUAACAUCAUUAAUAUUAUUAUAUAAGUUUUAAUAUCAUUAAUAUAAUUAAUAAUAAAUCAUUUAUGAAUUUUAAUAGUGUUCAUUAGAUUUUGAAAUUUUGUAAAAGUGUUCACAUGAUUCAAAACACGAGAGAAAUAAAUACUUGGAAGAAAUAAGAAACAAAUUUUGAAAUCUGAGAAAAAUAAAUAUUUGUACUAUAUGUAAUAUACCGAUCAAAAUUAUUGGUCAUUCAUAGAUAAUUAUCAGGUAUUAAUUAUUGGGUUUAAUUGCUUAAAAUAUAUUGCACUAAUAGUUAAUCAAUGGACUUGGCUGUCACAGGCCCUAUAAAUAUAGAUGUGCAGAUACAAUUAUCUUUUCCUAUUUUUUUUAUCCUAAUUAAAUAUAGAUAGACCUCUUUAUGAAACAUAUCUGACUUGAGCGUCGGUGUCUUCUGCAGGUUAACAACCCAUCGGGGUUGAUUACGUUCUUGAAGAGGAUUGGACCAUCAAAAAAGAACAAAGCAAGGAACGACGACCGACUCUCGGACAAAUUCAUCUGAAACAUUUUGGUGCCCAUCGAGGGGCCGAGCAGCAUUCCCAUGAAGCCACGAAGAACCAGACGUGAGGUUACUUCAAGGGCUGAUGACCGCUCGGUAAUCCGAACGCAAGAUUACCUUGAGAGUGAAGAACCUGAUAACCCGAACGCGAGGUUACCAUAAGAGCGAAGAGCCUGGUAACCCGAACACGAGGUUACCUCAAGGGUUGAACACUAUCUUCAGAGUGGAAGAUCGCUCGGUAACCCGAACGUGAGGUUACCAUAAGAGCAAAGAGUUUGGUAACCUGAACGUGAGGUUACCUUAAGGGUUGAAUCACUCUCUUCAGAAUGGAAGACCGCUCGGUAACCCGAAUGCGAGGUUACCAUAAGAGCGAAGAGCCUGGUAACCCGAACGUGAGGUUACCUCAAGGGCUGAUGACCGCUCGGUAAUCCGAACGCGAGAUUACCUUGAGAGCGAAGAGCCUGGUAACCCAAACCUGAUGUUACCUCAAGGGCUGACGACCGCUCAACGCAGAAAGUUCAAAAAAGAACUCCUAUCAGUCAACUACUCAACAAACCUAGUCCUUUCCCACUCGGACCACCCGUGUUCCGCUUUGUCAGGUUCCAAUGCCUUUUUAUUAUAAAAAUAAAUUACAAAAUAUUAAAAUGUUUAUUUUAAACGCAUAUAUUUUGGAGUGAAAAUCUCUUGCACAGGAAACCGUUCAAAAGAGAACUCCUAGAGUUCGUCGCUUGGUAUAGGGAGUAAUGAAGACUUAAAGCGCAUCAAAGAUAGACUCCCUAAAUACAACGUGAGCGACCUCUUUUAAAGCUCAUAAUAAUCCCUAUGCACCUCUUUCAAAUAAAAGAGCUUGCUUGGGCUUGGGGGACUUAUGUACUAUAUGAAAUAUACGGAUCGGAGUUAAUGGUCAUUCAUGGGCAAUUAUCAGGUAUUAAUGGACCAGAUUGCUUUACGCUUUACAAAUAUAUGACAUUGAUUAUUGAUUAUUGGAUUUGAUUGCUUAAAAAUAUAUUACACUAAUGGUUAAUUAAUGAACUUGACUGUCAUAAGCCCUGUAAAUAUACAUGCAAUUGAUGUUUAGGUACAAUUAUCUUUUCCUAUCUUUUUCUAUCAUAAUUAAAUAUAGACCUCUUUAUGAAACAUAUCUGACUUGAGCGUCAACAAUCCAUCGGGUGGAUUACGUUCUUGAAGAGGAUUGGACCAUCGAAAAAGAACAAAGCAAGGAACAACGACCGACUCUCAGACAAAUUCAACCGAAACAAUAUCAAAUUUCAAAAUCUGAUAGAUUCUUAAACUAAGUUUCCAAAUAUGGUAUAUAUUAAUUAAUGUUUCAAUUUUAUUAAAAAAUUUAACCAUUAUGUCUCAUGUCUCAUUUUCGAGAAUAAAUUAGAUAUUACUAAAUAAAUAUGGUGUAUUUAGUUUUGAUUAUUUUGUUAUUAAAUAUAAAUCAUUUAUGAAUUAUAACACGUACAUAUAUUAUAUUAGUUGUUUCAGUAUAUGGGAUCCGAAACCGAGCUGUCACGUCUCUUUUCACCUCCCGUUCGUCCAACUUUCACAUACAAGAGCUCAUUUCCAGUACCGAACGUUGAUGUCCUGCAAAGGAAAACACUCUGACGCUCAAGUCAGAUAAUGCACCAGGAGGUUAAGCAGGAAUUAUUGUGUUCAAGAUGUCUCAUACCUGACUCUUCAUCUCCUAUUUAUAAACCUCACCUUCAUAAUUAAUGCUAAUAAUUACCACGAAACGUAAUAUCUUCCGUUAUCCUCCCAUCAAUCCUAAUAAAUGCCCCUCAACGUUACCUUACUCCUUGCUCUUAGCAGACCGACCGACUUCCCCCUUCUCUCUGACCACGGACUUAGCUCAAACCGAUCGGCCCAAUCGAUCCCCUACACUACACAAGCCCCCAAAGCCCCGAGCGGCUUUAACAACGAAGGGGUUUUACAGGCCUCUAAAGUGGAAUGCUCGAAGCGGUUUUCUGCCCGGUGGGGAUCGAAGCGUCGCGACACUCCGUCCACACGAUCAAACCUCGAUGUAUGGCUGAGAUACUCUAGCCCGUCAAUCACACAUGUUCAUCGAAGAGUCGCAAUUUCGUGGCCGUAGGAUUCGACCUGUAUCAACGGCGACGAUGCACACCCAAACCGCUUUAUGCGGCUAUAAAAGGUGGAGGGCCCCUUCUCAUUUCCUCCGUUCCUCACUUCCUCCGUUGCUCCUCCCGUCCCUCCUCAACUCCAAGGUAAUGUCUUCCUCUUCGUGGUCCACCGAUGGGUCCGAUAAUGAAGGUCGGGGGUACGCUGAUGGUGCAAUCGCUUCUUCUUCAUUGGAGUCUUCUUCAUCUCACUCCUCUGGUUCUCCCGUUUGUGAGGAAGCCGCUAACGACGAUGUUGAGUUCAACGUAGAUAACUCGUUAGAAUGGAUCGGCAAUGCCCCUCCUCCUAUUGUUCAAGGCUACGAUUGGGCCCCUCACGAGGUUAACGACUACCCUUCGUACUUCAUUUCCACCAACUCCAUAGUACGUCUGUUGGAACGGGUGGACCUGUUGUCCAACCUACGACGAGAUGCUGCCGAUAUAUCCCUAGUAGUAUGUCGUUCCAACGAACAGGCCUGCCACAGUCGGGAAGGGUAUACCCUAGAUUUCUUUUAUGCUUAUGUUACCCUUUUCCGCGACUUGGGUGUACGACUUCCCUUCUCGAAAUUUCAUAUGGGCGUACUUCGAGAGUUAAACAUCUGCCCAGCUCAACUUCACCCGAACGGUUGGGCCUUCAUGCAGGCUUUUGUUGUUCUCUGCACUGGCCUCCUCCUAACUCCUACUCCCGCCUCCUUCCUCUAUUUUUUCCACGUUCGUCCCCACCCCCACAGGUGUUGGAUUUCCCUAGUCCCAGCCAAGGAUAAACAACUCUUCACCUCGUUCAAUUCCUCCUACAAAGACUUUAAAUCCAAUUUUAUCAAGAUAGCCAUAUGAGAUCCCGGCCUGCCCAAAUUUUUCUUUGGGGAUAACCGGCCCAAAUUUCCCCUCUACUGGACAGAAGAGCCUAAACGAGUGAUCUCCUGGGCUGAAUCUGAGAUGACUGAAGCCGAAUUAGAAGUAAUUCGCCAAAUCGAUGAGCUACCCCGGAAGACCCCUUCUCGCCAACUCAUCGACCUCCUCGGGACUAACACUCUACGCGCUAGGGUGUUGGGUAAGCUUUCCUUUAUUUUCCUUCUCGAUCAGUCAAUAUUAACUUGCUAAAUUUGUUUCAUCUUUGCAGACUUCUUUGGCGGAAUGGAGAAACACCAAGCUUUCGCUCGCGCCCUAGCUCGCAAGAACAAACGAAGUGGCGACACUACACUCCCUUCCUCCAACACUAUCGCCCACUCCAUUAAUGUCGCUUUGAAGAUUCAUGAUCUGAGCGAUGACCCGAAACCGGUCGUCCCUGCCCCUGUGACCAAAACCAAGGGAAAAAGGAAGCAACCCUACGAGAAGACCCCUCUCCUUCCAAGAAGAGAAGGAACUUGGGUCUUCUCCUUUCUGGCCCUCCGGAUCCGAACGUCCACGUAUCCGACUGCCUCCAAUUCAACCUUUCCCCCAAAGAAAGAGAACCCUUCAAAACCAUGACCCCUACAGAAUAUUUGGAUAUGGCCUACGAGCUACUAGCUCGGGCCAGCAUCUGCCUGAAUUAUUCUGUUGGAACCACCAAACCGCUCCUUGUGUCAGAGCUUGAGAAUGCCAACAAGAGUUUGGCCACAGCAAAGAAAGAGAUUUCCAUCCUCACCGAACGCCUCGAAAAGGCUAAUAAACUUGCAGAGGACGAUCGGGUUAAAGCUGCUGCCACACUCCUUGAAUCUAAAAAUGAAGUUAAGCGUCUUCAGUAGUUCGUUGAUUCCCUGACCCUAUCCUUACAACAAUCUUCCUCCCAAGUCAAACAAAUCACCGAAGAGAGGGAUUUCGCCCUUGCUGACCGGGACAGAUUGACCUCUGAGUACUCAGCUCUAGAGGAUGAAAUCUGUGAAGAACGCCAACGCGGAUUCGAGCAAGGGAUCGCACAGUGCCACUACUUCUUUCAGACUCCCUUGGAGCACGAUGGUUUCAACAUUAUGAAGAUCUUUGUGGACGGUCAGCUUGUCGAUAUCUCCGCCCCACCUCCUUCACGAGUUGAAUCUAAUACCGACCAGGCUAUUCCUUAGGUUCCUCAAAACGUCCAGGUCGCUUCGGAAGCUACUACAUUUGUCCUUCCCUCAAGCGACCCUACCACCACUUAGCUAGCUUCAUUUUACUUGUAUUUCUCUUUUGGUGUACUUCAUUUUAUUUUCUUCGCACCUAUGUAACACAAACUUUUAAUUGCCAACUUUCUUGCACUUUAAUUUUACAGUUGUUAAUGUCUCCUCCUUUUGAUAGUCGCAUUAUAUACUUAUAAUAUUGUUUUAAUCCUUGUCCGCUCGUCCAACUCUUCUUACAUAGCGAAAUUCCAAGAUUUUUCUGAUUUCCCGCAUUCGGCUAAAUUGAAAAAUCUCUUUCCCGAUUUUCUUCUCUUAACCGAUGGGCAGUCAUUUUCCUGACUAUGCCCAAACAUCCACCCUCCCAACUCCUGGUGAAAAUCAUUUUCCUGAUUUUCUCGCGUUCGGCUAAAGCGAAAAUCAUUUUCCUGAUUUUCAUCCUUUAGCUGAUGGGCAGUCAUUUUCCUGAUUAUGCCUGAUGAUGGGUGUCGCCACCCAAUCAAAUUUAAUUGCAUAUUAGGAAUGCAGUAUAGCUAGGGAGUGACCCCUAGGUCGUCUCUCAAGGACCAACUACGGUUCAGAAUCAGGUCUAACACAGUGUAGGGGGGUUUUGAAAAGGUUUCACCAUGCAUGAAAAUGAAAUUAGAACAGUAAAAACGAAAAUUCACGCUGGAAUUAGGCAGCUCUGACCUUUGCUCAAUGUUUUAACCAUAACUUUUUCUACAGAGCUCUAAAUGAGAUGAGGUUUUUUUUUCCUGGAAAGUAGACUCAAUUAUCUUUCAUUUGAUAUAUAAAAUGUAGCAUUUGGAGCUCUGGUGUGGUUGCAGUAAUUUUUUUAAAAUCGAGUCCAGAGAGUGAAAAUGCUAAAUCAAAUACUAGACUAAACAAAUAUUUAAACACAGUUAAAUUAAAUUAAAUGCAAAACUAAAUUAAAGAAAUUAAAAACAACUAAUCCUACAAUACAAACUAAUUUAAAGCUAAGAAAGAUAAGCAACAUAUUAUUUUUUUUUAUCUAUCAUUCACGUGACAUCACGUGCCUUGCAAUUGAAAAUUGGAUGUUCCCUAGAAUUAAAUUAGCUUGUUGCAUCGUCUUGCUUCCUUUUCAAAAAUAAAAUAAACCUCCAAACGUCCCAUCUAGUUGUCACCGUGAUUGCUCUUAUCUAAUACAAAGUAAAAGCUUGGUCUAAAGAAAGUAAAUCCCUAGAAAAGUUAACCACCGAGCCUCAGCCUAAAAUCAAAUGAGUGUGUGCUUUUGCAUAAGCAAAGUAAAUUGAAAGAAAAUGUUCCAACAUUCAAUCACCGCAUGUGUCCCCUUCCUAUUUAAUAAUAAAACAAACUUUAAAGAAAUGUGGGUGGUGGCUGCACAUUUCUUCCAAUUGCAAAUGAAAAAAAAAAGAAACUUUAUGCCAUCAUAGAAUAUCACGGUGCACACACUUCUUCAAUAAAAAGCUAAAAAUAAAGAAAAUGUUUCUUCCUCAUUCCCAAGGCUUUCUAUAAUUGAAAUCUGCACUCCUCCUAUGCUAAACAGGAAAUUGCUGGAAUAAUAAAAAGAAACAUUAAAUGCAAAAAGUGCUAAAUGAAAUGAAAAGGACGAGAGUAAAUAACCAGGAGCUUUUCAUUCCUCAAGUGUAACAGCGUGUGUACCAGUUUUUUAAUAAACCAAAAUCCAAAAAUUCCAUCAUCCUCCCAAGAAGCUAUGCAUGAAAAACGUUAAAAAAAACUCCUCUUAAAAACGUUGCAGAAUGCCGAGAGUCCUCCUUAGCACAAGUGACGGCUGGAAGGGGAUUGUUGGAAUCCCUAGGGCCAAGUGUCUUCAUAAAAAUGGGUGGGGUCCAUCCUAAAAAAAUAAAACCCUAGGGUGACAAGUGUCCUACAAUUUUUGGGCUUCUCAUAAUUUUUUUUUAAUAAUGGCCCAAUGUGCAAAUGUUUGUCCACAAAGUUUAAAAAAUUAAAAUUAAAAUACAAUAAAAUUUAAAAUGUCUAAUUUGAGAGUCUUGAAUUUAUUUUGUCUCCUCCAAAUGUCCCAAAUUGAGUUUCCAAAAUUCUCCCUGAAAAUAAUAAUGCAAAUAAUUAGCUUAGAAAAUUCAAAUUAAUUAAAAUUAGAAUUUCUGGUCAAAUUAAGCAUAUUUAGGAAAAACGGAAAAAUACCGGACAAUUAAGCACAAUUCCCUGAUUAAUUCUAGCACAAUAAACUAAGUGAAAUCAAUAAAAUAUCGGCUCAUCACCUGAACGUCUACCCUUCCAACUCCUGGUGAAAAUCAUUUUCCUGAUUUUCUCGCGUUCGGCUAAAGCGAAAAUCAUUUUCCUGAUUUUCAUCCUUUAACGGAUGGGUAGUCAUUUUCCUGACUAUGCCCGAACGUCUACCCUUCCAACUCUUGGUGAAAAUCAUUUUCCUGAUUUUCUCGCGUUCGGCUAAAGCAAAAAUCAUUUUCCUGAUUUUCUCGCGUUCGGCUAAAGCGAAAAUCGUUUUCCUGAUUUUUCAUCCUUUAGCGGAUGGGUAGUCAUUUUCCUGACUAUGCCCGAACGUCUACCCUUCCAACUCUUGGUGAAAAUUAUUUUCCUGAUUUUCUCGCGUUCGGCUAAAGCGAAAAUCAUUUUCCUGAUUUUUAUCCUUUAGCGGAUGGGCAGUCAUUUUCCUGACUAUGCCUGAACGUCUACCCUUCCAAAUCCUGGUGAAAAUCAUUUUCCUGAUUUUCUUGCGUUCGGCUAAAGCGAAAAUCAUUUUCCUGAUUUUCAUAGUGAACGUCUACCCACCUUCUCCUCAGAGUUGCUUCUCCUACCUCGACUGACAUCAUCGUGUCUGUUCUGUAAGUCAAGUUAAAUGGUGAUUCCCCCGUCGCGUCGUGCGGCGAACAACGAUAUCCCCACAAGACCAGUGGUAACUCAUCAACCCACGCCCCCUUUGCUUCGCCCAUCCUCUUCUUUAAUUCUUGAAUAAUAAUUUUAUUCACGGCCUCGGCCUGACCGCUCGUCUGUGGAUGCUCGACAGAACUCGUGACCGAAGUUAUCCCCCACUCUUGAUAGAAGGUCACCAGCUUUCUAUCCACAAAUUGUCGAUCAUUGUCAGUAACAAUUACCUUCGACAACCUAAAUCGGCAAAUUAUCUUCCACACAAACUUCUAGACCUGAGCGGCUGAAUUUUUGGCUAAAGGCUCGGCCUCCACGAGUAAUACAACAGGUGACGGAUCCAGGAGUAAUACAACAACACCAAUCCCUUGCCGCUCCAUGUAAUGAGUACUCAAAUGCCCUUAAGAACAUGUCCUCAUCCGGGACAUCUGGAGGUUUCAUUGAAGAGCAUAUGGUGUAGAACUCCUCCAAAUGUCUAUAUGGGCAUUCACCUGCAAAACCAUGAAACCUAGGCAGCAAAUUUAUCAGUCCAGUGUUGAAAACACAACGCAUAUCCUCCUCAUCAAGUGGAAACGGCUCCCUAAGAGAACUCUCAUGAGAUGGAGGAGGAACCGUUAUGUUCUCAACAUAGAAAUCAGCAGAGUAUAUAUGAGAACCAUACUCAAAGUCAGAUGCAGAAGGAGAAUCAUAAUCAUAGACACAGGCAGAAGAAGCAGUGUUCACAAAAUCAAAGUAGGUAGACAUGUAGAAGGAAGGGGGAAAAAUGCAAUGAAAAUAUGCAACUAAAUGCAACACACAAUGACGAACACACAAAACAGAACAUCACACUCACAACACAAGACAAGACACAAUACACACUAACACAACAAAGACCUAAAACCGAACCGUUGGUCCCCGGCAACGACGCCAAAAUUUGAUGGGUGUCGCGGCCCAUACAAAUUUGAUUGCAUAUUAGAAAUGCAGUAUAGCUAGGAAGUGACUCCUAGGUCGUCUCACAAGGACCAACUGCGGUUCGAGAAUCAGGUUAAACGCAAACAGUGGGGGGGGGUGUUUGAAGGUGUCGUUGUGAAUGCAAUAUGAUGAAAUUAAAAAUUAAAAUUAAACACAACAGAAUACAAUUUAAAACAUUAAAGUACAUGACAAUAUUAACUAAAAUUAAAUACACACUAAAACUAAAGAAAGGAAAUGUUAUUCAUCAUGGAAUCAACAUUUAAAAGAAAAAUAAGUAAACCAAGAUAAUUGAGCAAAAUACUUCUCUAAAAUAGGAUUCAAUUAAAAAGCUUAAAAUUCCUCCAAAUUAAAUCACCACUUGCAGCAUAUCCCCAGCUCCUCCUUUUCUUCAUUGAAAUCCACGCUGAUUUCUUUUGUAAAAACAAAUUAAAUGGUGAUGAUAAUCCAUUCUCCCGGACUCGGCAGCGGGACGUGUCCAUGCUUUCAAUUAAAAGGAAUACUUCUUCAAAACUUCUUUCCCAGGUCGAUAGCUCCAAUUUUUGCCAUCAAUCCACGCCUAAUUUUCUCUCAAUGCAAAGUUAAAAGUGAAAUAAACAAUGCUUAAAACUUCCUCCAUGUCGUACCAUUUCUUCACAGACGUGAACAAUUAACUUCUCCAAGAAAAUUAAAAUUGGCUUCCAAUUCUAGAAUAAGAAUCACCGUGAAUAUUGCUGCAUCAAUCAUCAAGCACCUUAUCCGUACAUUGCUUCUGGAAGAAAAAUUGAUAAAAGCUCCACAAAAUAAAUCCUAGCUACCACCAAUUCCAAUCCAAUCAUCUAACUACUAUUCAAUCCAUAAAAUUCAAAUAAAUGCUAGCACAACCUUAGCAGGUCCGUGACAGCAGCUCACACUUCUCCGUACACUAUGCUUCAAUCAAAGGAAAUUAAAACAAAUAGAAAACAGUGCAGCACUUAAAACAAGGUGAAAAGGUAAAAUGUGCUCUCAUUCAUUGAUGUAAUAAAAUCAUGAACCACAUCCCAUUGUUAAAGAACCGUGAGCAAAACAUGUGUGUGCAAGCCAAAUAUCUCCAAAUAAAAAAAUGACGGCUGUCUUUUCAAAAUAAAAUACCAAGAAUCUCUUUUAGCCAAAAUCCAAAUAUAGUAUCAACAUUGUUCUUUUGAAACGUUGCAGCCCUUCCAAAUGCCAAGUCUCUCUUUUUUUUUUUCUUUAGUUGCCGAUAGGUGAUAAUCCAAGUCUGCAGCCAAAUUCUACUUAAAACCAAAGUGACGGCUGCAGCCCUUAGCAAGGGACAUGUGUCUUCAAAUUUUAGGAUGGGGUCCACCCUAAAGAAACCUUAAAGUGCCAAAUCAUCCUACUCCACAAUUGGACUUAGUCUACACUACCAAAAAUUGACCCAAAAUUACAAAACUUGGUUUAAAAAAAAACUUAAUCUACUAAAUUAAAAUUUAAUUAAUUCUAAAUUGUCUUUGUGGAGAGUCUUGAAUUUAUUUUGUCUCCUCCAAAUGUCCCAAAUUGUGUUUCCAAAAUUUUCCCUGAAAAUAAUAAUGCAAAUAAUUAGCUCAGAAUAUUCAAAUUAAUUAAAAUUAGAAUUUCCGGUCAAAUUAAGCACUAUUAGGAAAAACGGGAAAAUACCAGACAAUUAAGCAUAAUUCCCUGAUUAAUUCUAGCACAAUAAACUAAGUGAAGUCGAGAAAAUAGUGACUCAUCAAAAACCCCUUCGGUACAAAUCGUCACCCACAAGGCAAUAUCGAACGAUCCUCUUCACAUCUUCGGCGCCAAGGACUUCCCCCCCUCCUGCCUCCGAAUCAGCUGGAUAAUCUCAUCCUUCCAAGUGUUUUGUGAUCCUGCAGUAGUAACGUUGAAACAUUCUACUAUUGGCUUCGUCAUCACCUGUCUGAUCACUGUAGACAAUCCCCCCCUUCGCAUUUCCGCUUGCCAAUUUGGACAAUAUAUCCGCUCGAUUGUUUUUCGACCGAGGAACAUGUCGCAAUCGAAAGCUCUUAAAACAUGUCGCUAAUCGCUUUGCCUUGUGGAAAUAUUGCAAUAGGUGAUUGUCUUUCACCUGAAAGUUUUCGUUCAUCUGCCCUUCGACCAACCGGGAAUCGGUUUGACACUCUAGCAAGCUUGCCCCCAAAUCUCGUGCCAACUCCAUUCCUGCCAGCAAAGCCUCAUACUCUGCCUGAUUGUUACUAACCUUGAACUGAAACACCAAAGACUGCUCAAUCAGUACCCCGCUCGGGCCUUCUAAAACCACUCAUGCUCCUCCUCCCUGCUUGUUAGAGGACCUACCUACCGAAAGUUGCCAACAAAAUUCCUCCUUCUCCCCUGGUAAGUCAGCCGCAAAAUCUGCAAGAUGUUGGCCCCAAAACGACCCCUUCGGUUCGUACCUCAGCCCAAAUUCAAAUAAUUCUAUCGACCACCCGAUCAUCCUACCUGCUAAGUCAGGCUUUCGCAAUAUCUUGGCUAUCGGGUAAUCCGUCCCAACAACCACUUGGUGUCCCUGAAAAUAAGGUCUUAGACGCCGAGCGGCAUAAACCAGAGACAGGGCCACAUUCUCUAACUGCUGGUACCGAAGCUCUGCCUCCUUGAGGCUUCUGCUGACAAAAUAAACCAACUUGAAAUAGGGGGUCUCUUGAAUUGGCGCAGCACUAAUAGCCUCCUCUGUAGCAGCUAAAAAGACCUGAAGAUCAUGCCCCACUUCCGGUCGGCCCAUCACCGAAGGUCGAGUGAGAAUCUCCUUCACCUCCCUGAAAGCCUCUUCAUUCUCCUUGUCCCAACACUCCUGUGUUGUUCUCUUCAUUGUUCUCAGGAUUGGCUUUAUGUGCUCGGCCAAAUGAGGGAUGAACCGAGACAAGGAAGUCAAACGCCCCACCAACCUCUGAACCUCCUUCACCGACUGGGGACUCCUCAUUUCCAAAACUGCCUUGCACUUAUCGAGAUUCACUUCAAUUCCCCUUAAAGUCAACAUAAACCCUAGAAAUUUCCCUGCCCGAACCCCAAAAGUACACUUGAAGGAGUUAAGCCGCAUAUCAAACUUUCUAACUUGUCCCAAGACCUCCUCCACAUAUAAAAUAGUUUCACACCAGAAUGAUAAAUCUUCUUAACAGUCACAAAACUAUCUCUGCAAGUAGUGAUAGCGACCUAACAACUACGUGUUUAUAAAAUUUUCAAGUUCAAUUCCAAUUUGUGGCCAAUUUGAAUUUACUUUACCAGCAUGUAUGAUUUUGAGGGAAAAAAAGAAAACAAAGAGAAUAAGAAAUUCUAACAUUCUCAUCAAUAACAUUACAAAAUGAAAAUUAAGCACAAUUUAAUUUAUAUAAGGCAUAUGGUAAAAUUAUACCAUUAGAGGAGACAGAUUUAGUAUAAAAAAAUAUACUUUGGAUAUAGAAGUUAUUGUCUUCUAUGUAUACUUAUUUUAAUUUUAAAAAAUAUAUAUUUAAAUCAUAAAAUAAAAAAAUUAAUGACAAUAAAAUAAAUUCACUUUAUAUAUAUAUAUAUAUAUAUAUAUAUAUAUAAUUAAAAUAAUAUAACAUUGAGAUAUUUUAAAUUUGAAUCUCUAUUAUUAUUUAUUUGUGAAAACAUUUAUUAUUGUUCAAAUUUUUAUGAUAAUUAAAAAUAAUGAAAUUAUUAUUAAUAUUAAUAUCAAAUUAAAUAUAAAUAAUAUCUAUAAAAAUAUCAAAUUAAAGAAUGUUUAAAUUUUAAAAAAAUAUCAAAUUGAAAAUUUUAAAUAAACGAUUAUUAAAAAUAUCUAGUUAAAGUAUAUUUUCACCGGACAAUAUGUUAGUUUAAACUUUAAAAACAUAAAUGAAAUAGGAAAUGAACAAUAAUAGUGAAAGAAAUUUGGUGAUUUAAAGAUUAUAAAAUUAAAACUAAUAGUAUAUCUAUAUAUAUAUAUAUAUAUAUAUAUAUAUAUAUAUAUAUAUAUAUAUAUAUAUAUAUAUAUAUAUAUAUAUAUAUAUAUAUUAUGCUAUAACUUUUUCAAAUAUUCGAUAUUAUUGGGUUAGAGAAAUAAAAAAAUGUUUGAAAUAUGAAAUCUUCCUUAACACCAUGGUUAAUAAGUCUCAAGAAUAGGAAGAACUACUAUAGUCAUUAUUUUAAUAUCAUUUUAUCGUAUCAUGUCUAUUAGAUUUAUACAAUUGAUUUUAUUACGUUUAAUACCUAUUUUGGUUCAUUAGUUUAUAGAAUAUGUUUAAAGUUGUCCUCUUUUUUUUCAAAAAUUCAACAUCGUCCUAUAUUUUGCAAAAAACCGUUCAAGUUAGCCCUUUUUGCUUAAAAAAGCUAACAACAGAAUAGCCUCAUUGACAAAAACUUGAUGACUUAUACAAAUUAUUGUUGACGUGACACUGUGAGGUAAUUUGAGACCAAUGAGAAGAUGCCACGUGGCAGAUCUCUUUCCACACAAAGUUAGGGUUUCACAAUUGUAGACUGGGCAAGGGCUUUCUCUGCAUCGUCAUGAGAACUAGAGGAUCUACCACGAAUUGUCGUGGAGGCACGAUUUAGGUAUUCACAACAGGGGCGCGAUUGUUGUGCAAAGGAGAACGCCAUGAUACUAUGAUUUGGUCCUCGCAGUAAAUGAGUUUAUGGUUCUAUUUUGGAUGCAGGUUUAUGGCGACACUUGCGAGGAGAAUGGGUUUCAUGCAUUUGCAGGUUGCACGAGAACGAUGAACUUGCGAAGAAGAUGCGAUAUAGGGUUUCUAUUUUUGGAUUUUUGUGUUUAAUUUCGCUCUCACUUUUUAACAGAGCAAGGAAAGAGGGUCUUGUGUUUUUCUCUAUAGUUAGUGUCUUGAUUCCCCAUUAUUCUCCUGUUUUCACUGUGCUGUAGGUUGUGGCAACUGUUCUCACAACCAUGCAGCUACUUGUCUAGAAAAUCUUUGCAGACUGGAUCUGCUUACCCUUGUUGUUAAAGUAAAUCUUAGAAACAAUACCCUCCAUUUAGGUGGGGGCAGUAGUUCUUUAUAGGAGCUUGGCAGUUGGUUGUUGUAAAAGGAUUUCUCCUCUAUAAUUUUGUUCUUUACAUAAACAAUACCCAUAAUUUUCUUCAUUUCAUUUAAUGAUUUAUGUGUUAUUACCUAUACCACUUCUUGAUUGCAUCAAACUUUUCCCAUUUAUUGGAUUUGUUGAGAGGGGAAGUCUAGAGGAAAGGGAUCAAAAUUUUAGGAAAGGGGUAGAUGAAGGUCACAUUAGAAAAUGGAUGCUAAGAUUGCCAUUCUGGAGAAUGAAAUGACAAAUCAAGACAACUUUAGCAACAAUGUUGUUGAUGGUGGAAGAAAAUCAGAAGAAAUUGGUGUCAAUGCUGGAAAAGAAGAAAAUAGAUGUUGUAAUUGUGAAACCCCCUCACAGUGCCACGUCAAUAAUAAUAAUAAUAUAAGUCAUCAAGUUUUUGCCAAGAAGACAAGUUUGUCUUUAGCUUUUUUAACAUAGUAAGCAAAAGAGAUUAACAUGAACCGUUUUCGCAAAAUAUAAGAUGUUAGUGAAUUUUUGAAAAAAAAAAAGAACUUUAAAUAUAUCUUACAAACCGAAAAAUCAAAAUAGGUAUUAAAUUAUUUUAUUAUUAAAUUAAAAUAUUAUUAUGUAUUGUUAAUCAAUCAAAUUUCUGGGUAACAGAUGUUUUUUUAGUUUUUUAUUUAUUUUUGUUAUGUAACUGAUUUUAGUAAAGUUUAUAAUUUUGUAAAAUUAUUUCAUUUUCAUUUCCUACAGUACUUUAAUUAUGAUUUUGAAAACAUCAUUUCAGGAAUAACAUUUAAUAACAAAUUUAUCCAAUUAAAGAAAAGAAAGAGGGUGAAAAUUGAAAAAAAAAAGUAUAAGAAAGAGAAAGAGAAAAAAGAAAGUAUAAGAAAGAGAAAGAGGUGAGUCUAAGUUAGGCAAAGGAAUAUAAGAAAGAAAAAAGAGAAGUGACAGUCUUUUUUUCCACGUCACCACGAGUACAAACACAACAUUUUCAGUGACCAAGUAAACAAAUGAGUUUUUUUUUUUUUGUAAUAUUACUUUUAUUUUCUUUUCAUUUCCAAUACUAUUAGUGAAAAAAUAUAAACAUUAUGAAUACAAUUCAAUAAAUUAUAAUAUUUCUUUUUUGAAAAUGAAUUCGCUCAACAUUUAAAAAUAUUACAGUGAAUUUUAAAAAAUGUAUAAUUUUUAUAUUCAUAUUACUUUUAAAUGACAAAAUAACUUGUAAAGAAUUUAUUUAUUUUACUAUUAUUAAUGCUUAUUAUGAAAUUAGUACUUAAAAUACACACAGACAAUAAAUAUUUUGUGCAUAAUGCCAAAUGGUUCCAGUCUACUUCUACCAAAAGCUCCAUUUCUACACCCUACAUUUUCCUUCUUCUCGGUCGCUUUCGAUGCUAAAUAUUCCAUUUCAAAUUCAGGAGAUAUGUCCAACUGAAAAUUUUCAACAAAAUUUGCAUUGGUAACCUGAUCCCACUAUUUCAAGAACUAAGAUUUAGAAGGCAACCAAAGAUAAGAAUAAAGUAACCUACCUGAUCGACCAAUCCACAUCUACCAAAAUUUUUGCAACGCAAAUGCCAUAAACAAAAAUAAAUCAAGAGUUUGUUAGUUAUUGUAACCCUGCCUUCCAAAUCUCUACCAUCUGCAUUAGUGCUAUUCUGAGAAGCCGACGACAGGACAGUCUUAUUUUGAGAACAAAAUACUAAAAUUAUUAAUUUAAAUUAAUUACUCCAACUCUUUCUUCCAUAUGGAUACUGCUAUGCAAUAAAUGUAUGAGAUUGAAGCCAUGAUUUAAUUGCCUUCGGAUUGCCGUAGGAUUUAUCAGAGUUUGAAAAUAAAUGUAUCCUCUAGGCUAUAAUAUAAUUCGGUCCCGACCUAAACAAACUGUACUCAGAUUCAAAAAUACAUGCCUUGCUACUUAUGACAUCUUUCCUUCCGAAAAAUCAACAUAUAUCUUCUAGCAAUGCACCAUAUUAUGCUAAAAGACUCCAAGAUAAAGCAAAAAACACGUAAUUAUAAUCUUUUGGUUUCCCACAAAAAUAUCCAUGAAACUAUAUGAUGAGUGUUUAGUUUUAUCACUUUUCAAACUACUGGUACCAAACAGUAACUUAGUUUUAACCCAAAGUUUAAGUAUUAAAUGAGUAUUGAACCUGAAAUUUUAUUAUGAGAAAGUUGCAAAAAUGCUAAUUUGGGCAACUUCUCUAAUUUUUCGGGUAUGUGACCUUCUAUUUGGUUAGAAUCAAGGAAGAGAUAUGUCAAAUUAUACAAUCGACCUAAAGUAGGAGGAAUUGAACCUUCGUGAGUGAGAAAAAGAUAUUCAUAUUCUCCUAUAUUGACAAGAAAAAGAUGAGUAAAUUACAUGAGAAAUAUAAUGUUACCUUCAAGUUUGUUUGAAUCCAGAUAAAGAGUUUCCAAGUUCACCAGUUGAGCAAAAGUAGAUGGGAUUGAACCCGUUAGUGAAUUAUUAGAGAGAUCAAAUACAACUACAGUUGUUUGAUGAAGGAAUCCUCAAGGAACCUCUAACAAUAUCACUAACACUUCCAGCUUCAUUGCAGGAGAUACCCUCCCAAUAACAAUGGUCUGAGAUAUUUGAGUCAUCAUUCUGUGGAGCAAAGUCUGUCUUUCCUGAUUAAAUGAUGAGAAAAUGGAAGAGGUAGACAUGAUGACACCAAUCACAGAUGAUAGCUCAACCAUCAUAUAGAAGGCCAUAACUCGUAAACUACAAACACAGUUAGCCAUACUUGAUUGGUUCAGAUUCAAAUGCCUCCGAUAACUAAUCAGUUAUUUUUGUUAUAAUGCAAUUGACAAUUAGGUUUCUUAGUUGGAUAUAGAAGAUCAUGAAGAAAUCAGGGAGGAUGUUAAAAUGAUAUCAGGGAACGCUCCAAUUAUUUUCUCCAAGGUUGAUGAAGACUUUGCACAAAGAGGACUUAACCUCAACAGUUAUUGCCACUGAUCUAUUUGACUUUUUGAUUACUUUGGUUUCCAACUCUGUAGGCCAUGCACUUGGUGCUACCACCGUUGUCAAGGAGGUUGAAACUAUAGAUUAGUCUUCAGCAACCUUAACUCAACAGCAAAUACAAUAUUUGAGUUUUAUAUAUGGCUAUAUAAUUAAUCUAAGAACUUUAUCAUUGUAAUUAUGUAAUUUCUACAUAUAUAACUAAGUAAGAACUUUAUCAGCUGGUUAUGUAUAAUCAUACUUGAAUGAAAGGAAGUUGUACCAUGGUCCUUCAUACACAAAAGAAGUGGUAUAUCUCUAGUUCUUUUAGACUUCAGCUUGAUCAUCUCCAUGUUAUGAUAUGAGAUAAUAGGUUGCAUAAUGUUCUUACAGCGAAGGUUUUAAGGAGGAAGAAACCAAAGUAUAUCGGAAAUAAAAAUAUACCAGGAAAUUUUCCAAAUAACUCUUGUCAGAACAACAUGGAGAAAUAAUUCAAAUUCUAUGAACAAAAAGAAAAAGAAGAGGCACACUCAUCUAGCAAAUAUCUUUUUCAGAUUUCCAAAUUCUACCGGUAUAUGACCAGAAAUUUUGUUGUUUUGAAAGUACAAAAUAGUCUAGUUCUCUUGUUGGCCCAAUGCAGAAGGGAUUGAAUUUGUGAGUAAAUUAUUUGAUAGAUGUAAUUCCAUUAAUUGUGUCAAAUUUCCAAGUUAUAUAUCUGCAAAUUGGUUUCAAUCAACAUAAAAUCUGCCCACAUUCUUCAAUAGACCUAAUGUAGAAUGGAUUGACAACCUAAACCGACUCAAGAGAGGUUACAACCUAAACCAACUCAUCUAAUACAAAAUUUACAAAUCAUUCAUGCACAUUCUAUGGCAAACACUUUGUUAUUCAAAUAAGGUGUUACCUUACAUCAUUUCAUCAAGUCUCUGGAGAUCAUUUCGUAAAAAAAUUUCUCUGCCUUUUCAGUCUCGUUGUUCUUAAACAGAUCAGAGAUGAUUAUUUCAAAAGUCCUAACAUCAGAUAAACAACCACUUUCUUCCAUUUUGGACCACAAGGUCAAUGCCUCAUUAAACAAACCCUCCUUACAAAGACCACUGAUCAUAAUAGUAUAAGUAUGGAUGGUGGGAUUGUGACCUUUAUUCAGUAGAUCUUGAAAAAUCUCUUGUGUAUUCUUAAGUCUCCCCUCUCUGCACAUCCCAUGGAUAAGUAUAUUUGCAGUGUACAUAUCAGGCUGAAGUCCAUUCUCUCUCAUUUUCCUCAAUAAUUCAAUUGCCUUGUCUAGAUGAUGAUCUUUGCAUAAAGCAUCCAUCAAGGAACUAUAAGUGAUUACAUCUGCUUGUUGAUUUCUACCAUGCAUCUCAUGAAAAAGAUCCCAAGCAUCAGAUAUUCUUCCAGUUUUGCAUAAACCAUCAAUAAGAGUAUUAUAAGUCACUGUAUUUGGAACCAUAUUAAUGUUGUGCAUUUCCUGAAAGAGAUUUAUGGCAUCAUCCAUCCUUCCUUUUCUUGUGAGUCCAUUUAUCAUAAUAGUGUACGUCCUAACAUCAGGACUCACUCCCAUGUGAGUCAUUGCAUUGAAUACUUGUUUCGCAUUCUUCACUUUAUUAACUAAAUAAUACCCAUCCAUUAGUGCACUAAAGCUAAUAACAUCAGGUUUCACAUAAGCUUUCACCAUCACACCUAACACAUUCUUGGCUUCUCUUAGCUUUCAUUCCUUACACAAUGCAUCAAUCAAUAUAUUAUAGGUAUAAACAUUUGGCCUGAUGCUAUUUGAUACCAUUUCAUUUAGGAAACCGAAUGCUACCUCUACCUGUCCUACUAAGCAAAAGCCAUAAAUUAGAGUAUUAUAAGUAAAAAGAUUAAGAGAAAUUCCCUUGAUAACCAUCUCAGAAUACAGACCAUAAGCUUCUUCCGGAUGAUUCUCUUUUAAUAAAGAGUCAAUAAUAAUGGUGUACAUUACGGUUGAUCGACCUUGAAUCUUUCUGAACAAUUCGAUGGCGGCUUUAGUUUCUCCUAUUUUGCUCAAUCCAUUAAUGAGAGUCUCGUAAGUAAAUUCGUUGAGCCGAAAUCCUAGUGCUAUUACUUUAUCGUGAAGGUUGAGGGCUUCCUUAACCUUACCCUUAUCACAGAAACCUCUCUUGAGUGUAGUUAAGGUUAUGGCAUCUGGAUGAUAACCCCGUUUGAGAAUCUUGGCAAAUACAGAGAAAGCUAAAGGCAAUUUGCCUAAGUGACAGAAACAAUUGAUGAGGAGGCUGAGAUUAGCAAGGUCACAGAGAAUUCCCUUAAACUCCAUUUGCUUAAUGAGAGAAAUGGCAGUAGGGUACCGCUUCAUCCUCACAAGAAAUCCCAAAAUCUUUCCAAAUUCCAAGAUGGGAGGAACAUGACGCUCACGAAGCAAGCGAUUGAAUUGUGAGACGGCUUCGUCGUGUAAGGAAGUUUGAGAGUGAGAGUGAGAGCAAAGGAGGGAAUUGUGGAUUGGAAGAAAAGGAGGAAACUUGGCAAUGGAAGGAAGAAGAGAAACCCUAAUACUUCUUGAGAGCCACAUCUUUGCUGCAGACAACAAUAGUAUUGAAUUCUUCAA
RNAcentral lists this long non-coding RNA (49130 nucleotides) under Vigna radiata. RNAcentral describes it as "long non-coding RNA (VRAD_LNC009951)". The record is from RNAcentral. Lineage: Eukaryota; Viridiplantae; Streptophyta; Magnoliopsida; Fabales; Fabaceae.